AAAUGAGCAAGGGGGCCAUAGAAACUUCUUUUCGAACGACUCCACUCAAAGUUGUUUGGGAGCAUAUGCUCCUAUCAACUUUACCCGGGACACACAAAAGAAGUACUUUGAUCCUAUUAGACGGGGGAGGGUGAAGAAGCUAGGACAGAAGGGUAGAGUUCAAGAGAGCAAAAUGCGUUUAGGAACGUGGAAUAUAGGAAACCUUAACGGGAAAAUCUAUGGAAGUAGUGGAAGUUAUGGUGAGGAGAAGGAUAAAAUGUUAUGUGCCUACAAGAAACUAAGUGGGUUGGUAGUAAGGCAAAGGAUCUAGAAAACUCAGGGUUUAAACUUUGGUAUUCGGGCACAAAUAGAACGAGAAACGGUGUUGGCAUCAUCGUGGACAAGACCUUGGUACAAGAUGUUGUAGAUGUCAAGAGGGUAGGAGAUAGAAUCAUGGCAAUCAAGAUUGUAAUAGGACAAGAACUUAUCAAUGUGAUUAGUGCGUACGCACCUCAAGUAGGGUUGGAUACGAGUUCGAAGGAGAAAUUUUGGGAAGAUCUUGGAGACUUGGUGCAAGGAAUUGCUCAGACGGAGAAGUUAUUUUAUAGGAGGAGAUUUAAAUGGACACGUGGGCAGGGAGACAGGCAACUAUGGAGGUUUUCAUGGUGGCCAUGGUUUUGGGGAGAGAAACGAGGAUGGGGAAGCUAUCUUGGAUUUUGCAAUGGCAUAUGAUCUCUUCUUAGCCAACACCUUCUUUAAGAAGAGAGAAGAACAUGUGAUCACCUACAAGAGUGGGUCGUCAAAAAACACAAAUAGAUUUUCUUCUAAUGAGGAAAGGGGAUAGUAUAACUUGUAAGGAUUGCAAAGUUAUACCAGGAGAGAGCGUGGCUAAUCAACAUCGCUUGUUGGUGAUGGAUGUACAUAUCAAAAGAGUAAGACAAAAGAACAAGACUUGGAAGUGCCCAAGGACUAGAUGGUGGAAUCUAAAAGAAGAAAAACAAGCCAUUUUCAAAGAGAAGGUAAUCACCCAAUGUGUGUGGGAUAGAGAGGGGGAAGCUAGCCAAAUGUGGGAUUCCAUGGCUAGUUGUAUCCGAAAAGUAGCAAAAGAGGUAUUAGGAGAGUCCAAGGGCUUUGCCCCACACCAAAAGGAAUCUUGGUGGUGGAAUGAGGAGGUACAAACAAAGGUGAAGGCUAAGAAGGAAUGUUGUAAAGCCUUAUACAAGGAGAGGACUGAUGAAAAUGGUGAAAGGUAUAGAAAAGCGAAGCAAGAGGCGAAGAAAGCUGUCAGAGAAGCUAAGUUAGCGGCUUACGACGAUAUGUAUAAACGACUAGAUACCAAAGAAGGAGAGUUGGAUAUCUAUAAACUAUCUAGAGCAAGGGAAAAGAAGACCAAGUGAGGUGCAUCAAGGAUGAGGAUGGAAAGGUUCUUGCUACAGAGAACGCGGUUAAAGACAGAUGGAGAGGUUAUUUUCAUAAUCUUUUCAAUGAAGGACAUGAAAUGAGUGCUUCUUUAGGGGAGUUGAGUAACUCAGAAGAGUGUAGAAACUACUCUUUUUAUCGUCGAAUCCGGAAGGAAGAAGUGGUUGUAGCUUUGAAGAAGAUGAAGCAUAAAAAAGCAAUAGGCCCAGACGAUAUACCAAUCGAAGUGUGGAAACUUUUGGGAGAGACAGGUAUAACAUGGCUCACUGACCUUUUCAAUAGGAUUUUGAAAACGAAGAAGAUGCCAAAUGAGUGGCGAAUGAGCACUUUGGUGCCUAUCUACAAGAAUAAGGGCGACGUACAAAAUUGCAUGAACUAUAGGGGUAUUAAGCUAAUGAGUCAUACAAUGAAGCUCUGGGAGAGAGUCAUUGAGCAUAGAUUGAGGCAAGAGACACGGGUUUCGGACAACCAAUUCGGGUUCAUGCCAGGGCGCUCAACCAUGGAGGCAAUCUAUCUCUUACGAAGAUUGAUGGAAAGAUAUAGAGAUGGGAAAAAGGAUUUACACAUGGUCUUUAUAGAUUUGGAAAAAGCGUAUGAUAGGGUCCCAAGAGACAUUCUUUGGAGGAUUUUAGAGAAAGAAAGGAGUACGAGUAGCAUAUAUCCAAGCUAUAAAGGAUAUGUAUGAAGGAGCAAAGACUGCCGUAAGAACUCAUGAAGGACAAACCGAAAGCUUUCCCAUAACUGUAGGAUUACAUCAAGGCUCAUCCUUAAGUCCUUACCUUUUUGCGUUGGUAAUGGAUGAGUUAACACGACAUAUUCAAGAUGAUAUUCCUUGGUGUAUGCUUUUCGCAGACGAUAUAGUGUUGAUAGAUGAAACUCAGGAAGGGGUAAAUGCAAAGCUUAACCUUUGGAGAGAAGUGUUGGAAUCUAAAGGUCUUCGCCUAAGCCGAUCAAAGACAGAAUAUAUGGAGUGCAAGUUCAGUGCAAAUGGAGGCCAAAACGAGUUAGGGGUGAGGAUCGGAGAUCAAGAAAUACCAAAGAGCGACCGUUUUCGUUACCUAGGAUCUAUCUUUGCAAAAGAACGGAGAAUUAGAUGGAGAUCUCAACCAUAGAAUACAAGCUGGAUGGAUGAAGUGGAAGAGUGCAUCCGGCGUGUUGUGUGACCGCCGUAUGCCACUGAAGCUCAAGGGAAAAUUUUUAUAGGACGGCAAUAAGGCCGGCGAUGCUGUAUGGCACAGAAUGUUGGGCGGUGAAACAUCAACACGUACACAAAAUGGGUGUAGCGGAGAUGAGGAUGCUUCGUUGGAUGUGUGGGCACACGAGAAAGGAUAAGAUUAGGAAUGAGGAUAUCCGGGGUAAAGUAGGAGUAGCCGAAAUUGAAGGAAAGAUGAGAGAAAAUCGGUUACGGUGGUUUGGACAUGUGCAAAGAAGGCCUACUGACGUUCCGAUUAGAAGAUGCGACUAUGGGACAGAGGUUCAGGGCCGAAGGGGUAGAGGAAGACCUAGGAAAACUUUGGAAGAGACUCUAAGAAAAGACUUAGAGUACUUGGAUCUAACGAAGGACAUGACACAGGAUCGAGCACAAUGGCGUUCUAAGAUUCAUAUAGCCGAUCCCACUCAGUGACUUGGAUUUUCCAAGUCUCCAACCGAGAAGUUUUCCUCACUUCGGGAAAUUAAGAGGAACACUACCCCAACCUACAUGCUCCACUCAGAAAGCUUCAACAUACAAGCUUUAACAAAAGAAAAUUCAAAGAACUUAGCGAAGAAGGCUUUGGUGUAUUUAACACAAUACGUUGAAAUGAAGGAAAGCUUAUUUAUUGAUAUCCCCGAUAAGCUACAAAUAUGUACAUAUACAUGAGUCAAAAUAAACACACAAGAGGGAGCCUUCACAAAGGUUGCUUAGGAGAAGUCUCAGCAGUCGGUAGAGCCCCAGAAAGAGAAGGCACCGGAGGGGGAUCAUUUGGAGCCUCAGUACUGGACAGAACCCUAGAAGGAGGAGGCAUCAGAGGUUGAUCAUUUGGAGCUUCAUUACGCGGUACAGCCCCAGAAGACGAAGGCAAUAAAUGCCUUUGGAACAAACCCACAAAUCUCUGAUGAUCAAGUAAAACCUGACCAUCAGUUUCCUUCAUCUGGUCAAGCUUCCUCUUCAUGUUUGUAGCAUAGUCAUGUGCGAGCCGGUGCAACUGUUUAUUCUCAUGCUUGAGCCCUCUAAUCUCCUGUUUGAGACUCAUCACUUCAGCCGCCAAUGAUUCAACUUGGCGGGUUCGAGCAAAUAGGCGUUGGGCCAUAUUAGACACAGAACCUGCACACUGAACACUGAGAGCCAGCGAAUCCUUAACAGCUAACUCAUCAGACCGUUUGGAAAGUAGUCUGUUAUCUUUGGGAGUGAGAAGGUUCCUGGCCACCACCGCAGCGGUCAUAUCAUUCUUCAUCACGGAAUCCCCAACGGUAAGAGGACCAGUAGGGGAGACGAAGGAUGGGCGCCAUAUGUUGUCUGGAGAAGGCGGGGCUGCCUCUUCAACAAGGUUCAAGUCAAAACGACGGUCGGAGGGGCCAGACAUUUUCAAAGGUGUUGAAGAGAGAAGAGGUCGGACAAAUCAAGAUCUUAGAAGUGCAAGAAUGAAGCUUCUACUGGUGGAGAUUCAAGUGUGCUUUGGAACUUAAUGCCAGCCCCUAUAAAAAUCUGCACUCGACGAAGCUUCAGAAAUCGAAGAGGCGCCUGCUCAGAAAAUCGAAGAGGCGUUUGCUUUCUCAAAAGCUGGGCUGCUUAGAGAUCACGAGGGUUGAUCUCAGAAAUCGAAGAGGCGUUUGCUUUCUCAAAAGUUGGGCUGCUCAAAGACCACGAAGGCCGAUCUCAAAAAUCGAAGAGGCGCUCGCUUUCUCAAAAGCUAGGCUCCCCAGAGACCACGAGGGCCGAUAUCAGAAAUCGAAGAGGCACCUACUUUUCCAGCCUUUUCCAGCCUUGUCAGCACCUGUCACACGCACACUCAGUUUUGCGGAAAUUAUGGGCAUUCUGUCAAAGACUUCUGGGGAAGUAGAAAACACAUGAAUCUUACUGUUCAAUCACCCACUUCCCACACGCAACAAUAGCUCAUGGGUACCACAGAUAAUUUUGCCAAAGUUCUCUGCCAAAGUUGAGCACGUGAAGCUUGCAGCUCCCACUACAUCGCUCUGACCAAGAAGGGUAAAAGAAUAGCAAAGAAACAGCACUAACAAAGUUUAGACCCAUAAAUUUUGAAGGUCUAGCUACCAUAUUAUUACCCACAAGGGUAAAGGAACAGUACCACUGCUGGAUAAUUGGAAAGUCCCUGUGUGUCAACCUCUGUGCUUCGUGGCAAGGUAGACUAGCAAACAUGCCCAACCUUUACUCACAUUCGAGAAAACACUCCCAAUAAGAUUGCUUGCUCCAAAAUCGAAGAGGCACCGUCCUCCGAAUCUCGAGAGCCAGACUCCCAACAUGACUACUUUCUUAAAAAUCGAAGAGAGGGUAAAGGAACAGUACCAUUGCUGGAUAAUUGGAAAGUUCCUGUGUGUCAACCUCUGUGCUUCGUGGCAAGGUAGACUAGCAAACAUGCCCAACCUUUACUCACAUUCGAGAAAACACUCCCAACAAGAUUGCUUGCUCCAAAAUCGAAGAGGCACCGCCCUCCGAAUCUCGAGAGCCAGACUCCCAACAUGAUUACUUUCUCAAAAAUCGAAGAGACACUGCUCCCCGAAUCUCGAGAGCCAGACCCCCAGCAUGAUUGCUUUCUCAAAAAUCGAUGAGGCAUCGUUCUCCGAAUCAAUCGAAGAGGCGCUCGCUUUCUCAAAAGCUGGGCUGCUCAGAGACCACGAGGGCCGAUCUCAGAAAUCGAAGAGGCACCUACUUUUCUAGCCUUGUCAACACCUGUCACACGCACACUCAGCUUUGCAGAAAUUAUGGGCAUUCUGUCGAAGACUUCUGGUGAAGUAGAAAGCACAUGAAUCUUACUGUUCAAUCACCCACUUCCCACACGCAACAAUAGCUCAUGGGUACCACAAAUAACUUUGCCAAAGUUCUCUGCCAAAGUUGAGCACGUGAAGCUUGCAGCUCCCACUACAUCGCUCUGACUAAGAAAGGUAAAAGAAUAGCAAAGAAACAGCACUAACAAAAGUUUAGACACAUAAAUUUUGAAGGUCUAGCUACCAUAUUAUUACCCACAACUGUAAAGGAACAGUACCACUGCUGGAUAAUUGGAAAGUCCCUGUGUGUCAACCUCUGUGCUUCGUGGCAAGGUAGACUAGCAAACAUGCCCAACCUUUACUCACAUUCGAGAAAACACUCCCAAUAAGAUUGCUUGCUCCAAAAUCGAAGAGGCACCGUCCUCCGAAUCUCGAGAGCCAGACUCCCAACAUGACUACUUUCUCAAAAUCGAAGAGAGGGUAAAGGAACAGUACCAUUGCUGGAUAAUUGGAAAGUCCCUGUGUGUCAACCUUUGUGCUUCGUGGCAAGGUAGACUAGCAAACAUGCCCAACCUUUACUCACAUUCGAGACAAACACUCCCAACAAGAUUGCUUGCUCGAAAAAUCGAAGAGGCACCACCCUCCGAAUCUCGAGAGCCAGACUCCCAACAUGAUUACUUCCUCAAAAAUCGAAGAGACACUGCUCUCCGAAUCUCGAGAGUCAUACCCCCAGCAUGAUUGCUUUCUCAAAAAUCGAAGAGGCAUCGUUCUCCGAAUCUCGAGAGCCAGAUACCACAGACCACUUUUUCAAAGUGCUCUGACAGAGUUAAAACAUGUGAAACUGGCAGCUCCCACUACCGUGCUAUGACCAAGCAGGGUAAAGGAAUAGCAUUACUACUUGUUGUUAGGGAGACUCCUAUAUAUGUCGACCUCCAUCCCCAACGGACAGCAGCAGACCUGCAAAAAUGCUCAACCCUUCAUCAUAUCUGAGAGGGCACUCCCAACGAAGCCUUUCGAAAUAUUCAGCUUUCUUUCCCCCCGAUAAUACCUCUGCAAACAAGCUAUACUAGAGCAAGAAUAUCUCAUAUCAUCAGGGUUAAAAGCAAGAGUAUCCCAUAUCAUGCUUUUUUCCUGUCUUUUCUUUUGGCCUUGUUUUUACCUGCAAGACAAGGAGAAAGAGAGCAAUCAGUCAGCACUUGGAAUCAAGCUUCCAGCCAGGAACUGACUGCCUGGAACCCCUUACCUGAUUACUUACCUGGCAUUGCUCUCGAGUACUCAUCUUCAACAUCUUAUGUUUCCAGGGAAGAUUCCGCAUCUGCUUGAGGAACAGAUAGGGCAAGUGCGAAGGAUACAAGGAAGCAUGUGGAGACAAGCGUAACAGCACACGUGCCGAUACAUUCAUUACUCUGUCAAAAGCAAAAGUAUCCCAUAUCAGCAGGGUGGAACGUACUCUAGAUUUGAUGGACUUGUUUUGACCCUCAAAUUCUUCAGUCGGCCUUAUACUCUGGAGGAAACCAGAAAACCCUCCAGCUCAGUUCAAGAAUAAGCCUGUGGAAAGUUACUUCUUCAAAAGCAAAAGUAUCUCAUAUCAUCUCUUCUCAUUUUUUCUUCUCUUUAUCCUUCAUGCUGCAGCAAGAUGGGGAGAAGGUGAACAAUCAGUCGGAGCUCUGAUUGCUUACCUUGUCUGUCACCUCUUUCAGCAGACCCCCUAGCUCGGCGACUUGGGGGACUCCUACUACAUGGUUUGUAUCGCGCUUGACCAAGCCUGAAACUACAAGUAAGCUUCAAGUGAAAUUGAUACAUUACCUUGUGCAUCUCCACCAGUUAAAGAUACCACCCCUGGAUGGAGGAAGAGUACUUCCAGAGAAGAUGCCACAUCUACCUAUGAGACAGAUAAGGCAAGUCAAGACGACACCACACUCCGAUACUUAGAAGUUUCGUGAUUACGAGAUCAUUCUCCCACAAUAUUUCCUAAUGUCAUUUGUAUUAAAUCAUUCACUUGUACUCACUAAAUGAGAGCUUGAACCUAUGUACUUGUGUAAACCCUUCACAAUUAAUGAGAACUCUUCUAUUCCGUGGACGUAGCCAAUCUGGGUGAACCACGUACAUCUUGUGUUUGCUUUCCUAUCUCUAUCCAUUUAUAUACUUAUCCACACUAAUGACCGGAGCAAUCUAGCGAAGAUCACAGAAAGCGAUCGUUUUCGCUACCUAGGAUCUAUCUUGCAAGAGAACGGAGAAUUAGAUGGAGAUCUCAACCAUAGAAUACGAGCUGGAUGGAAAGAGUGCAUCCGGCGUGUUGUGUGACCGUCGUAGGCCACUGAAGCUCAAGGGAAAAUUUUAUAGGACGGCAAUAAGGCUAGCGAUGUUGUAUGGCACAGAAUGUUGGGUGGUGAAGCAUCAACACGUACACAAAAUGGGUGUAGCGGAGAUGAGGAUGCUUCGUGGGAUGUGUGGGCACACGAGAAAGGAUAAGAUUGGGAAUGAGGAUAUCCGAGGUAAAGUAGGAGUAGCCGAAAUUGUAGGAAAGAUGAGAGAAAAUCGGCUCCGGUGAUUUUGAACAUGUGCAAAGAAGGCCGACUGACGCUCCGGUUCGAAGAUGUGACUACGGGACAGAGGUUCAGGGCCGAAGGGGUAGAGGAAGACCUAGGACAACUUUGGAAGAGACUCUAAGAAAAGACUUAGAGUACUUGGAUCUAACGGAGGACAUGACACAAAACCGAGCGCAAUGGCGUUCUAGGAUUCAUAUAGCCGACCCCACUUAGUGGGAAAAGGCUUUGUUGUUGUUGUUGUUGUUGUUGUUUACUUAACAUGAAUUGCUAAGAGACAGUGUAAAACGUUAAAAGGGAAAAUUGUGAAUGCCACUCAAACUAAAAAUCUUGUCACCUCCUAGACUCAUGUAUUAGUGCAAAUGUACUUCCAUUAUUUUCUAUGAAAGUUUAGUCGAAACGUAUCAUCUGCAACACAUGCGAGCCAUUUUUCCAGGUUAUUACCACUUCAAGACAACUAGAUGACUUAGGGUAAAAAUUUAAUUGAUUAAAGCUUGUGGAACAUAUCUUUGCUUCCUCGAAGACAAGCUGUAGUCAAAGAAAUUCUUACCCCAACACGGCAACACGUGAUGAAUUUUGAUGGGAUUUCUAGCAGAGUUUGACAGAGGUGGUACAUACAAGUUAAAAGUGGUAUUUACGCACGCCCAUAAGUCCAGGUGGCAUUGGUGCAAAUUUCCCAAGUUAAAAUAUGUCAAGGUCUUAAUAGGCAGUCACUCUUAGUGAUUGCUUACUUGCACAGCCCCUUAUGAGUUCAAUGUUCGCAUAUAUAUAUGAAGAAUUUUAAUCUCAUCAGAUGAUGUCUUCCAUUUCUUUCAGGUCAGGUUAAAGCGUCAUAGGUGGCACAAGAAAGUACUUAAGAAUAACGAUCCCCUUAUUGUUUCUAUUGGGUGGAGGAGAUACCAAACAAUACCAGUUUAUGCUAUUGAGGAUCGCAAUGGAAGGCAUCGCAUGCUUAAGUACACUCCUGAACACAUGCAUUGCCUUGCAAUGUUUUGGGGCCCUCUUGCCCCUCCCAAUACUGGUGUGGUUGCUUUCCAGAAUUUAUCAAACAAUCAGGUUUGACAAGUUUCUUUUCUUUUCGUUUUUGUCUUAUUUUUAUGUUUCUUUCAUCUCUUUGAAAUUCGUAGCUCGCAACGGUACUUUAAAUAUAUAUUUCAUUUAAAAUUCAUCUAAUUAGGACUAGGUUGAGGAUUAAACUUGAGGAUCGAAUGUGAAGACCAACUUUCAAUGUGGUCCCAUGAGUUGAACCUACACUCAAUCUUUCUUUUUUUUGUAAAAUAGUUACAUGCACCGAAUAUUAUCCCGACUUUUUUACUACGUGAUGUGGCACGUAACGUGGUAUUUGCUUAAUAUUAUUAUUAUUAUUUUUUUUUAUAAUUGAGGUUCAAAGUGAGUCCAUAUCAGUGUUUUAAAAAGCACACCUGAGGUGCGCCUAGGCGGCUUUGGAGGCGGGGUGGGAGUGAUAAACGCCUCUGCCCAGUGGGAGUAGGCAAAAACUCACCUAGACGUGGUUGAUGCACGCCUAGGCAGCUAAGGUGCUCUUGAAGGCGGUUGAUUGGGCAUUCCUAGAUCCAUCACCGAUCCGAAUUCGAAGUCUUCUGGGUUUAGGGUUGCAGUGUGCCGCAUCAUCUUCACGAAGAAGACGAUCAUGAAGUAGAAAUAUUUUUUUUUCAAAAACUUGGUCCAAACAACGUCGUUUGGCCAAAUCUUUAAUUUUUUUUUUUUAAAAUGACUUGGCCCAAAACAACGUCGUUUUGGCCAAGUCUUUUUAUUUUUUAUAACCCACAGUAGUUCCCUGUAUGUGUUUUUAAAUAACCUGCAGCAGUCCCCAAUUAUUUAGAUCUUGUAAGGCUUUUGUCUCACGCCUCACGACUUUCGCCUCACGCCUCAAGGCUUUCGCCUAGGCGGGCUAUUCAUGAAACGCCUCGCCUAUGGCUUCGCCUUUUAAAACAUUGGUCCAUAUAUAAGAAAAUGAAUGUUGCCACAUUAGGUGAGAUUUGAAAAGUUCGAAUAACAGUUGUUGCCUCUAGUUAUGUGCCAAAUAAAACAACCGUCCUCUUAAUUUAUAAGUAAUAAACAACUACCAUUGGGUUGAUAGAAUUUUUCAAAGUCUCUCAUUAUUCAGAACAGUGGAGAUUUCGAUCAAUGUGUUUUCGCCUCUCCCAUUCAGGCUCUCUCGAAUUGAAACCAUUAUGCAUGGGUAACGUUUCAACUCUGCCACAUCUGUUGGUAAUGGAGAGUUUGGAACUUGGGAAGUACUACUGAAACUUUAUUAAUCAGACAAUAAGAUGGCGACAUCGUCAACUCCUAAUAAACCAAUAAGAAAAUAAGCUGCAAGGUCAUGUAGUAGAGGCUAGCUUACUACAGCUUUGCGAUUUGAUGAUUUUGGACAGAGUCGCUCGAAGUUCGACUAUCUCCCAGUGCUACUCUCUCUUAAACCUCAUGCGUCUUCAUGGAUUCUUGUGUUUCUUUUGCACCAUAGACAUAUUUGUUUCUUAGGAAUCUAAACCUGUUUUCUGCCCUUUGGUGAGCUACAGUACCAAUCGAGUACGUAAUUUCAAUGCACAACACACUGGUCUAUGUCUUGGUCUUGCACUUAAGUGCUGGUUAUGCUAUUUUCUCUCCUUUAAGACCAUUUUUAUUUAACCAACCUAGACCUGGAACACAAGUUGAUUUUGUUAUUUCACAGGCUACCUGUAUAAGGUGUCCUUGAAUCUCUAGGUUUAAUUUCAUAUAAAUAGAUUUUAUGGAAUGACGUUGAUUUGGAAAGGAAGUAAAUGGUGUUUGAAUAUGAUAUCCAGGCCACAUUGACCUGUUUGGUUUGAACAUUGUGUUUACUUACCUUUCAUGAACUCUUCCUGUGGAUUUUCUUGCUUAGUGGGUCUACUAAACCUUUUGUCAAUUAGCCUAUUUAUAAGGUUCCUCCUCUCUCAUUCUACCCACUGAAAUAAAAAGAAAACACACAAGAUGAAAAAUGACAAAACUAAUCAUUCAUAAACCUUUGUGCCGCAUUAUUAUUUUCCCAAUUUUCUCUUUUCAUUUGAAUUUUCGAAUUUUAAGGGUACACUGUGUUUCUUUGUUCCUAAGCUACUUUAUUUGAUUUGGCAGGCACAAUUUAGGAUCACAGCAACUGCAGUUGUGCUUGAGUUCAACCAUGCAUCACGAAUAGUGAAGAAACUCAAACUAGUUGGUCACCCCUGCAAGAUUUUCAAGAACACUGCCCUUGUAAAGGAUAUGUUCACCUCGGAUCUUGAAAUAGCUCGAUUUGAAGGUGCUGCUGUUCGAACUGUCAGUGGAAUCCGGGGGCAGGUCAAAAAGGUAUGAACUCAGCUGUAUUUUUAACUGGAAUGAUAUUCGUUUUUGUUAUUGUUGAGCUGGCAUUGAGACCAAGUAUGCGCGCACACGUGUGUGUGUGUGUGUGUGUGUAUUCACAAGUAACAGACACAUAAGCUCUUUACAGAUUGUAAAUAAAUUUGUGAGCGCAUUUCGUCAUAUGGCCCACGAUGCUCAUAUAAUUUACUUUUAUUAAUAUUAACCUUGACAGGCUGCGAAAGAAGAAAUUGGUAACCAACCAAAAAAGAUGGGUGGACAACCAAAAGAAGGGAUUGCUAGGUGCACCUUUGAGGACAAAAUUAAGAUGAGUGACAUUGUUUUUUUGCGUGCUUGGACUCAAGUUGAAGUUCCUAGAUUUUACAACCCAUUGACGACGUCCCUGCAACCUCGUGACAAGACCUGGCAAGGGAUGAAAACUACUACUGAAUUGAGGAGAGAACAUAAUAUUCCUAUUCCUGUCAAUAAGGAUUCACUUUACAAGGUAAUAUUUGAUGAUGUGAAGCUACUUAUUGCAGCAGCACAUGGUUUCUCACUCUAAAUUCUGCCCCGGCAGUACUUCCGCUUCUCUUUCUUUAGUUUUUCUUUGUCCUGUUCUUGUCAAUUGUAAUUUUCUUUUCUUUGUGUCAACAGAAAAUUGAAAGGAAGUUGAAGAAGUUCAAUCCGUUGGUGAUUCCUAAGUCACUGCAAGCUGUGCUGCCAUUUGGAACAAAGCCAAAGGAUAUUCCCAGUAGGAAAAGGCCACUCCUUGAAAAUAGAAGAGCUGUUGUCAUGGAGCCUCACGAACGUAAAGUUCAUACUCUUGUUCAACAUCUUGGAUUAAUACAAAACGAGAAGGUAUGCACCUUAAGACAUAUUGUGUUUGAACCCUCGUCCUUAGUGCAACACUAAUACACAGUCACAACUUGCCAGAGUGGCAGGUUUAUAUCUGUUUGAGUAACCGAAUGUAAUAGAUGAUUACUUUUUUGAGUUUUGACACAUGGAGCUUGCGUAUCACCUUGAAAGCAAACCUCAGAAUAUGCCUGAAGUGUGACCAGUUUAAUAUUCCCGCUAUCUUGACUUGUUUUAAAGUUAUCGACCGUUUGCUAACCAUCUUGUAUUUGGCUUUUUCACUUUUGGGGUAGAAAGAGUAUAAGAAGGGGGUGUCCCCUAUCUGAAGAAACUGUUAUGUCAUUUUAUGUUUUGUCUUUGUUUUGAAGACUCUUUUAUGCAGUUCAAUAAUUUUUUAAGGUAUUUCAACUUCUCAUCUGCUUUUGCAGAUGAAGAAGCGCAAGCUAAAAGAUGAUAAAAAGAGGAAAGAAAUUGAAGUCCAGAAAGCCAAAGAAGAACAAGUGUCUAAAAAGCGCCAGAGGGAAGAACGACGGGAGAGAUACCGGGCACAAGAUAAAAUGAAGAAGAAAACUAGGAGAAGCGCAGAGGACUGAUGGAUGCACAAAUGUUUUAACAUACUAUGUUGCUUGGGGAAACUGGGUGGGUGAGCUGACUGAAAAGAAAGAUAAGUGGUACGCGGAUCACGUCUACAAAUACAGUGAGACUAGGGAUAUCUUUUGCAAUUCGCUGCAUUCGAGGAUUUGAUACUGUCUCAGAAACACGACCCGGAUCGGGGGUUCCGACAGUCCCCUUUGGAAAGAUAAAACGACGUGUGAGAAUUUUUAAUGUGCAUUUUUGUGCCUUGAAUGUGUUUGUUCUUGGCUUCCUGAAUUAACUUUUAGGAAGCGAUACAGAUGUGAGUGAUUUGUGAGUAAUGAGACUUGAAUUCGGGUACAACGUUUUUGUCAAAUGCAGGAUCAAGUUGGAUUGAAAAUUUUGAUUUUAAUUUCAAUCCGCUUUCAAUUAUAAAAUUUUUGAGUUUUGGAGCACCCCAAUCGAGUACUAGAUUCGCUGAAUACCGAGCACUUGAAAAAAUUUCGUCAAUUCAACUUAAAUAAUUGUACUUGUGAUAGGAGCAUAUUUAUGCGACUUAGUUAACAUGUUUUCUUGCAUUUACUUAGUUAGUUAUUGCUUAUAAGAGUGUUUUAAGCCAUUUUCGUGUGUUUAUAGGUCCUAAUAGCAAAAUUGGAAAGAAAGUGCAUUUUGGUGCAAUUUGGAGCAAUUUUGGGCCAAAAUGGAUUGCAUGCAUAUGGAGCAAGUGGGAUGGACGUUUUUGGUGUUUUAAAAAGGGUUUCAACACAUGCAAAAAUCUGAAUAAUGAAGUUGAAGUGUGGAAGUGUGCAGAUACAUACACUUAAGGAACAAUUUGAAAGGAAAAGAAGUGAAAGAUGCCAUUUGUUGGAUUGCUUUACAAGUUGUAUUCACAUUUUCAGCAACUACAAACAUUAUUGCAAGCUGAAAUGAUGCAUAGCAUGUGUGUAGAGGUGUAAAGUGGCCAAAAGUUGAUGUUUGCAAGAUGAAAUGAUGCAAAACAUGUGUGUGAAAGUUGUCUAACAGCUAGUACAUGUGGAAAAUGGAUGGAAUACAAGGCAAAUGCAUCAGAAAUUGAAGAAUGAAGGCACAUGGACAGCUACAAAGGAGUUGAAUUAGCAAGAGAGGAAUUAUUGCCUUUUGUUAAAGGCAAGACACAAUGAUAAAAGAGCAUGUAAAUUAGCUGUUUUUGCAUCAUUUUGGUCUUUGUUUGUAUUGUUUAUUGAAGCCACUUGAGUGAUUCUUUGCUUUGGAGCUUCUAUAAAUAGGGAGUGAAGGGAAGAACACAAAAUACAUCAAAAAUACCCCCUUUCAUCUCAGAAAUUCGUCCAGCCACAUUCCACACCAUUCUACACUCCCAAAUCACCAUACAUCCAUAAUUCCUUACCUUUGCCGCACCCUCCACCUAUCCUAAACAUUACUAUACCAUCUCACAUCCAUUCCUCCUUAAAAAUAUCACCCAAAACCUGUCCCCAAGUCUUGUGCCGCAGCAAGAGGAAGGAGGACAGUCCAUAGGCGUGCUUGUUGUUCAAAGUGGAUCGUUGGAGCAUCUAGGUGUUUUCUUUCUUUUGUUUUCAAUGUCUAAAUUUGUCUAUCUUUGCUUUGUGAGUAUGAGAAACUAAACCCCUCUUAGUUAGGGGGUGAUUCGAAACUAUGUUCAUGCUUGCAAUAUGAUUUGAUUACAUCCAGUUGUGAUUCAUAAGUUGUGAAUUCAAUUUACUUAUCCGUUCGUAUAAAAACUGAUUUGUGUAUGUUGGUUGAGAGUGCACGCUUAAUUUUCAUGCAUGAAUUUGACGCUAGAAUAUAAAGGAGUUUCACCUAAUCGUUAUGAACUUAUAUUCACAAGUAGUGAAGGUUGCUGGUCACAAUCACGUUAAGUAAAUUCUUGGCAUAAGUUUCAUGCAAAUCAUAGUAACGAGUGCCUCGUCAAUGCUUAUGUUUUUCAUAGAACUUAAUGAUUCUUGCUUGUAUAUCUAUUAUGCAAUUCAUGUAGGGAACUUGUAGGGAAUGUUUUGGGUUGUCGUAUGCAAUCAUCCAACCCAAUAACUUGUGGAAAAACUGAGGGUUAAUUAGUGCAAUUCACGGUUAAUUUGGGGUGUUGAGUAUUCAUAGUUUAUCGAAAAGCAACUGGAAAUUGUUUUGUAUGCAAGUGUGACAUGUGUGGAGAAGAACCUCCUAGCUAGCCUUCCAUCCAUAAGUUCAUUCAAAUUCGUUCUACAAUCUGUUUUAAUUACAAAGUUUUGUCUUGUUUUCAAUUUCAUCAAAACCAAAUCCCCCUUUAUUUUAAAGUGUUAGAUUAGUUAGAAAUCCAUUUAGUUUGUGUUUUUAAGUGUUUUGAUUCAAGUUGUAACCCAAUUUCGUCCAAAUUUGUGUUUGUGCUCUAAACUGCCCAGAAAGUGUUUUUAAGGCAGUUUUGAGUCUUUUGGUUGCUGUUUUGAGUCUUUUGCAUUGUUUUAUUGUUUUAAAUUUUAGUUUUGCAUUCUUUGAGUCUAGUUUAGUGUUUUAAACUUUGUUUUUACGUUUCUAAGUCAGUUUUCAAGUGUUUAGCAAUCCCUCCUAAUCCCCGGUUCAGAACGAUCCCUACUUACAUACUUUACUACAUUUGAUAAAAAGAGGGUUUAAUUUGUGUGUUAAGUUAAUUUUCGCAUCAACCUGUCCUUAUUUUUUUAGGGAAUUUUAACGAAAAGUUUCUAGUACUGUUCACUUUAACGAAAAAUCAUAUUUUUACACCAAAAAGUCAAUCUUGGUACUAUUCAUUUUACCUUUUAUUUUAUUCUUAUCGUUAAAAUUCAAACUUUUCAAGUUCUUUUCAUUAGUUUUUUUUUAGUGGUUGAUAUAUUGGAGUGAGGAUCCUCGUCGGAUUCUCUUUGUGAGGAUCCUGGGGAUCCUCAAAUCACAAAUCACAUUUGUUCAUCGUACAUCGUGCGAUUAGAAAUUAUCGUAAAUUCUUUUAUUUAAAAUUGAAUAUAAACAGUACCUAACGAAAACUGACCGCACUAUGUACGAUGAACGAAUGUGAUUGAAGGGUCUCCAGAAUCUUCACAAAGAGGAUCUGGCAAGGGUCCUCACUCAAGAUACUGUACUGGUCUUUUCAGUCAGUCCUUGCUAUGGAAGAGGAUCCUCUCCUGAGCUCAGGAUGGGGAUCCUCCUAACCAGCCCAUCUGGGCCGUUCAAAUUUAAUCCAACGGCUUCAAAUAUGAUGUCCUCUAAAAGUUAUAAUAAUUGCAACUGUUGGAUUAAAUUUGAACGACCCAGAUGGACUCGUCAGGAAGAUCCCUAUCCUGAACUCAAGAAAGGAUCCUCACAGCCUUGCUAUUUAUUUAUCUGUUUCCAGGCGUCGAUUUACUCGAAGAAUAAUUACAUCAUAUAUCAAUAUAUUUUAUUAUUUUUUGGGGCAACUCAGUGUAUAUCCCUUCACCCUGUAAUGUUAUUUAAAUUUAGGAGGUAUUUUUUGCCUGAUGCCUAUUUGUGGGGUGAGUGGGUGGGUGGGGGAAUAAGACCAUCUUUAAAAGAAAUGUCAAAUUAUAAGAGUUAAAUUACAAUUGAUGAUUGAUGUGACAAUUUGAAGUCUUAUGUUAAAUUUUAUACUUCUCCAAUGAAAUUGUCAAAAUGUUAUUUUAUUAUUUAAAUAGAUCGAGUGACACAACCCGACUUAAAUCAGGGCGUGCUGGCCGUCACGUGAGAGUGACAUAACCAUGUGCACGAUGCGGAAACAAUAAAGAUAUAAGGGAAAUACGAAUAAAUAAAAACCAAACUACUAGUAGUACUAGCUAAGAUAAAGUGCUAGUGCGAGGUUAAAUGUGAAAUACACAACCAAAGCAUAAAUAUCCUAGAUGUAGUUAAGCAGGACAAUUACUAAUUAUACAACACCUAAAGGUGAUCCUACAUUAAUGAUAUUUUGUCAGAACACUCGUCGAAAUCCUUGUGAUCUACCAAACACUUCUAACUAAAACCUAGAUGGGUGAAAAACAGAAAGUGUGAGUGGGCAAAAACAAAACUUUUCAAAAUCAUUUCAUUUCUCAAAAGGUCAAACCCCUCAUCAUAAAACCUAUAUAAUUUCCUAGAAAAUAAUAGUAAUAAUAUGAUGUAUCAGAAAUCAUACUCAAGAUGAAAAUCCAUAGAAGUAUACCAUGCCAGAGUAUCUCAAUGCAAUGCCAUGAGUAAUCUAGACAAAUAUAUCAAUGUUAGAUAUCGCAUCAACCAAAUCCCUCUAACUCAUUCUGUACGGCUGGGUCUAUAGCUCAUAAUCAAUCUCAAUCAUAUCAAAUCAAAUCUUGCACACGAGUUAGAACCACAUAAAGUGGUAUGUACCACAAGACUAGGUGUGAAAUAAAUAUGCUCUAAUGCUACGAUCACGUGAAGAUUGUGCAAAUAAUCGCGGGUCACCUACGAUUUGGAACCACUUAAAGUGGUUUGUAUGACAAGCCUGUGCACCUAACUUGGAUCCAAGGCAAGCAUAUGGUGCGGGAGGUGAACAUCACGUGAAGGACUGUGCCCUAACUCUGGGCGGGAGCACUAACACCAGGGUGCAGGUUUAUGAGCUCCUAAUACAUCACAUCAUAUUUCGCAUAAUUGAAGCAAUCUCAUAUCUUUAAUUUAUGAACUUUCCUGGCACUUACCUGUGCGUCUGCAGCACCAAUCAUAAAUAUAUGCAACUACUAAUGCAUAAAUAAAAUAGGCAGUACUUUGCAUGGCAUUUCAAAACGUAUAAUAAUUUAAAUUCAUUUUCUGGGAAAAAUUUCAAGUAUAUUGGUAUAUACGGAAAACCAAAAGUCUACUCACUGAUAUGUCGAAGGGUCGUAGCCCUUGAGCCUCGAUUGAUGGCGCUUGUUCUCAGGAUAGGUCUCACCUUUAUGCGAAAUAACUGAAUAAACGUUAUUUUAAGCACAUACACAAAACUAGGAAAUAACUUCUCAUACAAUGCUCAAAUGGGGUAUUUGAAUAUACCACCAUGACCUACUCAACCUCAGGAACAUCCCCAUGUUUUUAGAAAAAAAUUUCAUAACCCCACGCGCCGGCCAAGGCACAGUCAGACGCGCGGCCCACGCGCAGGCAUGUGCCUAGCACACCAAACGGAUUCCCUAACGGCGUUAGGGAAUAUUCCGUAAAAAAUCAGAAUAUGCCGUUAAUUAUACCUGACGGCGUCAGAAUAUUCCGUCACUUUGACGGAAUAUUCUUCUCCUUUCUUGGAUCGUCGAAGCCCGGCGCCGGUGCCGCUGCUAUCCUCGGAAACUAAGAAAAAAAUCAAACCUUUAAAUCUUCCUCAUUUCUCAACCAAAACUCACGAAAUUAUACCAAAUUGAAGCUUACAACGAGUAGAACAAAACCUUACCAACUUAAACAUGCCAAACUCAACUUCUCGACGUCCAAAACACUUCGUUUUUCUUUUCUGAGCUUUGAUAAUCCAUCCAAAUUGAAACUUGGCAAACUCAACUUCUCGAUGUCCAAAACACUUCGUUUUUCUUCUCUGAGCUUUGUGAAGACGUUCUUAAGGCUCACUAGCAGCUUAAAAUCUCCUAAAAACUUUACAUUCAUAAUCACAUGAAUAGUGCCUCAAAACUGGGAUUUCUGGUUCUCGGGAAAAUGAGGUCUUCACGUCAAACUAAGGGCAUGGAUGAGCUCCUGAGUUCACAAGGAUCACAAAGACCACCUUAACAGCCUUGAUCCGUGACUAGAAGAGAGGGCUUGAAGUUUGUUCGUACGCUUGUAUGGAAAAUGGAAGAAAUCCGAGAGAGAAGGAGGAGAAAGAGUCAACGGGUAAGGGAAUGGGUUGGUGUGAGUGAGCGGUCCAAUUUGCAGCCAAUCACAACAAACAACAACCAUAAAUUUUAAGUUCCAAAAACUUAGGAACUAAUUAAAUUAGUCUAAAACCCAAACUCAAACCACAACAUCACACAUAAUGUACUCAACAUCCAAGGGUAUUCUAGACAUUUCACAUAAUGAAGGAAUAUCUUUCGGGACGGGCUGUCACAACCUACCCCCAUUAAGAAAAUUUCGUCCCUGAAAUUCACGCAAUAAAUAUAAUCCACUAAUAAUCAUAAAACAACCUUGGAUACAUAUCCCUCAUCCGGUCUUUAGUCUCCCAAGUGGCUUCUUCCACUGAGUGAUUUCUCCACAAAACCUUCACUAGGCGCACCGUCUUAUUCCUCAGAAUCUUAUCUUUCCAAUCCAAAAUAGUCACUGGCUCCUCAUCAUAAGUCAAAUCCGGAUUAAUUUCCAAAGGUUGAAGAUGUAUCACAUGAGAAGGAUCUGAGAUGUAAUGACAAAGCAUAGAGACAUGAAAGACAUCAUGCACUUUUGAUAACUCUGGAGGCAACUCAAGCCUGUAAGCAACCUCACCGACUCGCUCAAUGAUCAUAUACGGUCCAAUGUACCUAGGACUCAGCCUGCCUUUCUUUCCAAACCGCACUACACCUUUCCAUGGUGUUAGCUUUAGAAAUACCCAAUCACCUACAUUAUGCAUUCGGUCAGUGGCAUGUCUGUCUGCUAGACUCUUCUGUCAAUCCUGGGCCAUUUUCAGGUUAGACUUAAUCACCUGAACAUUUUGCGUAGUCUCAUCCACGAUCUCUGGGCCCGUCAAAACUCUUUCGCCCACCUCUGACCAACAUAGAGGUGUACAACAAGAUUUGCCAUAAAGUGCCUCGAAAGGUGACAUACCAAUACUUGAAUGAAAGCUAUUGUUGUAGGAAAAUUCCAUCAAAUCCAACCGCUUAUGCCAAGCGUCACCAAACUACAAUACUGAAGAUCUCAACAUAUCUUCCAACGUCUGAAUAGUCCUCUCUGAUUGUCCAUUUGUUUAAGGAUGAUAUGCUGUACUAUAAAGUAAUCUCGAACCAAGAGCUUCCUGGAAUGCUAUCCAGAAUUUAGAAGUAAAUCUUGGAUCCUGAUCCGAGAUAAUACUAACUGGAAUCCCAUGGUACUGCACGAUCUUCGAUAUAAAUAAUUCAGCUAAUCGGCUUAAAGGAUAUUUCUCCCUCAUAGGAAUAAAAUGUGCUGACUUAGUAAGCCGAUCAACUAUCACCCAGAUGCCAUCAUAACCGUUUUGUGUAUGAGGUAGUUUGUACACAAAAUCCAUAGUAAUAUUUUCCCAUUUCCAUUGCGGAACGGGAAAUGGUUGCAUCAAUCCAAAAGGCUUCUUUCUUUCUGCUUUGACUUGAUGACAAAUUAUACACCUACUCACAUAUUCAACAAUUUUGCUUUUCAUACCUAGCCAAUAAUAAAACGGUCGAAUGGUAUGAUACCUUUUUGUACCUCUUGGAUGCAUUGCAUAAGCUGAAAUAUGUGCUUCAUCAAGAAUUGCUUUCUUUAAUUCCAUAUUAUUCGGCACAUACAUCCUACUCUCCUGCAUAAGCAUGCCACCAGUUUCCUGAAUUUUGAAGUUUUUCUUUUUCCCCUGAUUCCUUGAUUGAAUUAUUUCCUGGGUCUCACCAUCAUUCAUCUGGGCUUCAAGUACACGAUUAAUUAAAAUUGGCCUGACUUGAAAAUUAGCAAGUAAGGUUUCCUCUCGAUCUUCCACUCUUAACUCCACUCAGUGGACCUUAAAUCUGCAAGAAGAGGAACAUGACAAUCAUAAAUGGCAUUAAGUCUAGCUGGAGUCUUUCUACUAAGAGCAUCAGCCACUACAUUCACACGACCAGGGUGAUACUUAAUCGUGCAAUCGUAAUCACUAAGCAACUCAAUCCACCUUCGUUGCCGAAGAUUAAGAUUCCUCUGAGUAAAAAGAUACUGAAGACUUUUAUGAUCUGUGAAGAUCUUACAUUUCUCACCAUAUAGAUAAUGUCUCCAAAUCUUCAAAGCAAAGAUAAUAGCUGCUAACUCUAGAUCAUGAGUAGAAUAAUUCAUCUCAUGAGGCUUCAAUUGUCUUGAAGCAUAAGCAAUCACCCUACCAUGUUGCAUCAACACACAUCCCAAACCAUUCAAGGAAGCAUCACUGUAGACCUCAAAAUUACCACUAUCAUCUGGGAGUGCCAAAACAGGUGCAUGAGUGAGAUAAUACUUUAACUACUGAAAACUUUGCUCACAAUUAUCAUCCCACUCAAACUUAACUUCUUUUCUAGUCAACCUCGUUAAUGGCAAAGCAAUGACUAAAAAAUCCUUAACAAACCAUCUAUAAUAAACUGUUAGACCAAGAAAACUUCGUACCUCGGUGACGGUUCGAGGUUGCUCCUAAUUUUCAACAGCUGCCACUUUUUUAGAAUCCACCUGAAUACCUUGAGCAGAAAUGACAUGUCCCAAAAAUGCCACUUGAUUUAACCAAAAUUGGCAUUUGCUAAACUUAGCAUACAACUGAUGUUCCCUUAAUUUCUUCAACACCAAAGUAAGAUGUCGAACAUGUUUUGCUUUAGACUUAGAAUAUGCCAAAAUGUCAUGAAUAAAAAGAAUGAUAAACCUGUCUAUAUAUGGUUGGAAUACCCGAUUCAUCAAAUCCAUGAAAGCUGCUGGCGCAUUCGUUAAUUCGAAUGGCAUCACAAGAAACUCAUAAUGACCAUAACGAGUCCUGAAGGCAGUCUUAGUGACAUCCUCACUGCUGAUCUUCAAUUGGUAAUAACCAGACCUCAAACCAAUCUUAGAAAACACACAGGCACCUCAAAGCUGAUCAAACAAAUCAUCUAUACGUGGCAACGGAUAACAAUUUUUAAUUGUUACCCGAUUCAAUUGCCUAUAAUCAAUACAUAGCCUCAAAGUCCCGUCUUUCUUCCUUACAAACAAAACUGGAGCUCCCUAGGGUGAAGUACUAAGCUGAAUAAAACCUUUAUCGAUUAAUUCCUACAACUGGACUUUCAAUUCCCUCAAUUCAGCAUGAGCCAUUCUAUAUGAAGUCAAAGAUAUAGGAUUCGUACCUGGAAGUAAAUCAAUAAUGAACUCCACAUCUCGGUCUGGCGGCAAUCCAGGUAAAUCAUCAGGGAAUACAUCGGGAAAAUGCCUAACUACUCGAACAUCCUCCACACUACUACAAGCAACAUCAUUCAGCACUACAUGAGCUACAUAUCCCUGGCAACCUUUUGAUAACAACCUUUUUACUCUUACAGCAGAAAUAACACCAUGCCUCACCCCAUUACAUUCACCCACGAAAGUAACUACAGGUAAUCCAGGACGAUGGAAAGUAACUGUUUUCCUGUAGCAAUCUAUGUUGGCACGAUUAUAAUGCAGCCAAUCUGUGCCUAAAAUCAUAUCAAAAUCAACAAUAUCUAAUGGGAUAAAAUUAGCUGGCAUAAGCACAUCUUCUACCAUCACUGGACAUCCUGGAUAUGCAUAAUCAACAUAACAUCUCUCCCCUCUAGGCAUAGCAAACUCUAAAUCAUACCUUAGAGGUGUAGGAUGAGGUUGCGUCACUUGAGCAAAUGUAUGAGAAAUGACGGAAUGCAUAGCACCACAAUCAAUUAAAACUCUAGCAAAGUGACCAAGAAUGUUUAAUGUACCCAUGAUCAAGUCCGUAUGAUUAUGAGCAUCUUGCAGAGAUAUAUUGUUAAUACGUCCUUGGGCUUGUUGUCGUCCCCCACGAGCUCUAUUAGCUUGAUUUCUUGCCCCUGCACACUUCGCCCCUAAUUUGGUUGACUAGAUUGCCUUAAAGAUCCUCAACUGCUGGAGGCAAUCUCUACCUGCUGGGGUUGUCCUCCCUGGUACCAUUAAGAUCCACCAGUUGGAAUGGGAGGAUACGGUGUAUACCUUCCAGGAUAUUGAGAAUACCCACUUUAGUAAUAAGGAUCUUGCGAAUACUGAUAUGAUCCUAGAGCAUAAGGAGCGGCAUCGCCCUGAUAAUGGUAAUCACCACCUCGUCCCAUCUGACCAUAACUACCAGACCCUGGAACUUGCUGGAUCAGCGUUGGUGGUGGCAUAGAAGGCUGCUAAGGCCUUUGCUGACUCUGGGGCCAAUUUAUAGCUCUAUGUCCAAUCUGUCCAUAAGUAAAAUAUCCAUUGCUGCCUCUCCUACCUCCGGAUGAUAGCGAGACAAGUCAGUGAAUCUUCUACAAUACUCAUUUGCCGUCAUCUUCCCCUGCUUUAAUUGAGUAAACUCUUGCUUUUGGCGAUCAAUAUACUCAGGGGGAAUAAACCUUUUCUGAAACAAUUGUUUAAACACUUCCCAAUCAGCUGCUUCCUAUGGUGACAACUGAUAAGACUCUUGUCUCCACUAGGAUGCAGGCUUUAGACCCAGAAACCAGGUAGUCAUCUCGACCCACUUAUCAGGAGGAAGAUUCCCCUGACUCUACAUUACAAGGAAAGUUUUCUCAAGAUGAUUGAUCCAUUUCUCCGCUCCUUCAUGUCCUUCAUUCCCCUUAAAAUGAUUCAGCUUCAGAUUAUACACAGUCUUAAGAGAUGUUCUUUGGGGAAGACAAAGCAAAGACUGAAUGGCAUUAGCUAUAGCUUCCCCUAAUUGAGCUAUAUCGGGGAAACUAGGCUCAACAGAAGGACGUGGAUCUGUACAAGGUGGCAUAGUUCUGACAGAAGCCAUAAAAAUAAUUCGAAGAUUCACAAGAUAUGCAGGAUUGCAAACCUAAUGCUCAUAUACCAAACUGACACACCCCAACCUAAAUCAGGGCGUGUUGGCCGUCACGUGAGAGUGACGUAACCAUGUGCACAGUGCAGAAGCAAUAAAGAUAUAAGGGAAAUACGAAUGAAUAAAAACCAAACUACUAGCAGUACUAGCUAAGAUAAAGUUCUAGUGCGAGGUUAAAUGUGAAAUACACAACCAGAGCAUAAAUAUCCUAGAUGCAGUCAAGCAGGACAAGUACUAAUUAUACAACACCUGAAUGUGAUCUUACAUUAAUGAUAUUCUGUCAGAACCCCCGUCGAAAUCCUCGUGAUCCACCAAGCACUUCUACCUAAAACCUGGAGGGGCGCAAAACAGAAAGAGUGAGUGGGCAAAAACAAAGCUUUUCAAAAUUAUUUCAUUUCUCAAAAGUUCUAACCCUUCGCCGUAAAACUUGUAUAAUUUCCCAGAAAAUAAUAGUAAUAAUAUGCUGUAUCAUAAAUCAUACUCAAGAUGAAAAUCCAUAGAAGUAUACCAUGCCAGAGUAUCUCAAUGCAAUGGCAUGAGUAAUCUAGACAAAUAUAUCAAUGUCAGAUAUCGCAUCAGCCAAAUCCCUCUAACUCAAUCUGUACAGCCGAGUCUAUAGCUCAUAAUCAAUCUUAAUCAUAUCAAAUCAAAUCCUGCACAUGAGUUGGAACCACCUAAAGUAGUCUGUACGACAAGACUAGGUGUGAAACAAAUAUGCUUUAGUGCUACGAUCACAUGAAGACUAUGCCAAUAAUCGCGGGUCACCUACGAGUCAGAACCACCUAAAGUGAUCUAUACGACAAACCUGUGCACCUAACUUGGAUCCAAGGCGAGCAUAUGGUGCGUGAGGUGAACAUCACGUGAAGGACUGUGCCCUAACUCUAGGCAAGAGAACUAACACCGAGGUGUAGGUUUAUGAGCUCUCAAUACAUCCCAUCAUAUUUCGCAUAACUAAAGCAAUCUCAUAUCUUUACUUUAUGAACUUACUUGGCACUUACCUGUGCGUCUGCAGCACCAAUCAUAAAUAUAUGCAACUACUAAUGCAUAAAUAAAAUAGGCAGAUACUUUGCAUGGCAUUUCAAAACGUAUAAUCAUUUAAAUUCAUUUUCUGGGAAAAAUCUCAAGUAUAUAGGUAUAUAAGGAAAACCAAAACUUCACUCACUGAUAUGUUGAAGGGUCGUAGCCCCUGAGCCUUGAUUGAUGGCGCUCGUCCUUAGGAUAGGUCUCACCUAUAUGCGAAAUAACUGACUAAACGUUAUUUUAAGCACAUACACAAAACUAGGAAAUAACUUCUCAUACAAUACUCAAAUGGGGUAUUUGAAUAUAUCAUCAUGACCUACUCAACCUCAGGAACAUCCCCAUGUUUUUAGAAAAAAAAUUCAUGACCCCACGCACCCUCAUGCGCUGGCCAAGGCAUAGCCAAACACGCGGCCCAUGCGUAGGCACGUGCCUGGCACACCAGACGAAUUCCGUAAAAAAUCAGAAUAUGCCGUUAAUUAUACCUGACGGCAUCAAAAUAUUCCGUCAACUUUGACGGAAUAUUCUUCUCCUUCUUCCUUGGAUCGCCGGAGCCUGGCGCCAGUGCCGCUGCUAUCGCAGAAAACUGGGAGAAAAAUCAAACCUUCAUAUCUUCCUCAUUUCUCAACCAAAACUCACGAAAUUUAUACGAAAUUGAAGCUUACAAUGAGUAGAACAAAACCUUACCAAUUUAAAGCCCUAAAAUCCACGGGAUUUAGCCAAAGAAGCCUUGAUAAUCGUGCCAAAAUUGAAACUUGCCAAACUCAACUUCUCGACGUCUAAAACACUUCGUUUUUUUUUCUCUGAGCUUCGCGAAGAUGUGCAUAGCUCACUAGUAGCUUAAAAUCUCCUAAAAACUUUACAUUCACGAUCACAUGAACAAUGGCUCAAAACUGGGAUUUCUGGUUCUUGGGAAAAUGAGGUCUUCACAUCAAACUAAAGGCAUGGAUGAGCUCUUGAGUUCACAAGGAUCACAAAGACCACCUUCACAUCCUUGAUCCGUGACUGGAAUGGAGGGUUUGAAGUUUGUCUGUAUGCUUGUACGGAAAAUGGAAGAAAUCGAAGAGAGAGGGAGAAGAGAGAGUCAACAGGUAAGGGAAUGGGUUGGUGUGUGUGUGUGGUCCAGUUUACAACCAAUCACAACAAACAACAGCCAUAAAUUUUAAGUUCCAAAAACUUAGGAACUAAUUAAAUUAGUCUAAAACCCAAACUCAAACCACAACAUCACACACAAUGUACUCAACAUCCAAGGGUAUUCUACACAUUUCACAUAAUCAAGGAAUAUCUUUCGAGACGGGCUGUCACAUUGAGCUUUAUAUGGUUAUAGAUAUAAAAAAAAUGUUGAAACAAAAUUUUUAUUUGUUGAAAUGUUAGUGAAAUAAAGACCCACCAUUAAAAUGAAUUAAAAAUAAAUUUGACAUUGAUGUCAAAUUUGAUUCCAAAUUACAAAGCCUCAAAUCCAAUCAACAAGUAAUACUUCAGUUGGAGAGACUUUUGAUGUCAAAUAUGCACAAUGGCAUUCUAUCUAAGAUUUUAAAAUCUCCUUUGAAGAUGCUCUAAUAGAUGCACAACCAUGUGUUAUUGCCUGAUGUCAGUCAGUUAGGUCCCAAAAAAAAUUCCUUUUGCAACAACAUCUUGCGCUUUAAUGUAUACAUGGAAUAAUUAUUAUGUUGAACAAAAAUAAAAAAAUAAAAAAUAAUUAGUUAAGGGAGAUUUUAAAUUCGGUCUUUAGUCAUUAACACUCUUUGACUAAAAUCUUAAUGGUAUUUAAAUUUUGGUCAAAGAGUCUUGACUUUGUACAUCUCAUUAUAUUACUAUUAAUAUGACACACCACGACCCGGAAUGUCCACCUGGAUUCCGAAUUGAGCUGUGUUGGCUGACACCAUAAGAAUGAUGAAGCCAUAAAAUGUAGUAAUUUGGAAAAUGUGAAUUUAAAUCUAAAAGUGCCUAAAUAUAAGAGUGCGCUUCACACGUGAUGUCAGAGCAUAAGUAAAGUAUAAGAGAAGUAGGAUGAGAAUUAUACCAUCGAAGGUAAUCUCCUAAACCAUGAUUUUCCAAGAAUACUAGUCGACAUGCAAACACGUCCAUUAAAACCUGGAGGGGCGAAUAAGGGUAAGUGGGCCUAAAAAUAAAGUUUUAUAAAAACCUUUUCAAAAACAUAAUAACCCCUCGCCGUAAAACAAAUAGAGUCUAAAAAAUAUACAUACCACGUAUAGUAUAAAAAUACUUACUGUAGAGAAUGCAAUACUUCACAAUAUUUCGUAAAUAAACACCUAACAUCCGGUAAUCACAAAAUCUCGCAUAAACAAACAUAUCAUAUCGAGUGCUCAUUGACAUAUGCUGAUACACGAGUUCAUGCAUAGGUAAUCUGACAUGAACAUGACUUAGUGUAAUAAUGAUUUACAUUCUAGUACUACAAUCAUGUGAAGACUGGAACUAUGCACAUCACAUACGAGUCCUAAUUGCCUAUAGCAAUCCAGGACAUGACUGACUCCUACAAUGGACCCAAAGUGAGUCUACAAUGCCAUGUGAACAUUGUUGUUGAUAAUUGCAAGUGUACAAUAUCAUCCAAGUAAUAUAGUGAUAAGUAGAGUGUCGUUUAAACAAGGAUUGGAUUAACCUAAAUUUACUAUUGAGAUUGACUCCAAACUAAACAUAAAUAAAAGAAGGAUUAUGUUGACAAAUUCAACUAUGCUAAGAAACCAAACGAACGUGAAAAUAACAAUUGAUCGAACACGAAGUAAAAUUGUAUGAAUUAUGAAAGAUUAAUAUAUUGAAGCACUAGGACAUCAAGUUCCUCAUUCUCAAUCCCAUCUAUUCCCGUUAUUCAUAUUAACAUCAAAUUAUUCCCAUGUUGCUAGCAAUUAUUCCUUGAUUCGUCAAUACUUCUUGUCAAAAUAUACUAACCGUGUUUCUAACUAUCUACCCAUUCUAUGUCUAGCCACAUAUAUAGAUAAUCGAAACCCUUUAUGCUAAAUGGAUAAUUACACAAUACUACACGAAUCAUAACCAGUAUGUCUACUCAAUUAUGUAAUUCAUGGUAAUUGUUAUGAGAAGCAAUCUACUAAACUCAGCCUAUCGGUCACAAUUUAGAUCUCCAUGCAAAUAAUGGCCAGUUAUUUGAUAACAAUAAAGCACAAUAACAAUUACUCAACAUGGAAAUUAACUGAGAUUAAUAUAAAAUAACAAGAAUUAGAUGUUCAUGAUAAGAGUACACCCUAGUCCUAGCAAAAGGACUUAGUUCAUGAUUAAACUAAUGACAAACAUGGAUGAAUUCGAUGACAUAAAAAAACCCAAAACUCCAAUUCUGUAUCUGUAUGCGAUAAGCCCUGAGAAUCUGCAACCUUCUGUGAAGUUGUCCCUCUCCAAGUCUAUGAGUGUGUGUGAUAUGUCCCCCUUUUUUUUUUUUCUCCUUUCUUAUGGCUCUGGGCUCCUCCCUUUUAUAUGUGCCCUCUUUCUUUUAUUUUCUUUAAAAAUCCCUCUGCUCUUCACGUGCCUUUUGGACUCUCAAAACCCCAUUUCUUUUGGGAACAACGUCCCCGCAUACUUGGACCGCCUAAAUAUCUUGGGCUUGCUUAAUGAUCCAAUUUCCUAUAUGAUAUAUUGUUCCAUUCUUUGCUCCAUAUAUUGUUCCAUUCUUUACUCCAGCCCAUCAGCUUACAUCCCACUUGGUAAUUCUUUGUGUUUCUCUAAUUUAAGCUUCUAAUUCACUGCUUUAUUCACAAAACAUGUUUUCUACAAAAACUCACAAGACACAUUAAACUCACCAAUUUAAUAUAAAAUCACGUCUAAAUAAUAUGUGUAAGAGGUAUAAAAGCUACAUAUAAAAUCAACCUAACAAAUACCCCCAAACCUAUCUUUUGCCAGUCCUCGAGCAAAACAUAAAACAAAAAUAAGAAACUGACUAAAAUAAAUCUAACUAAGCCCACUUUCGUUGGCGAAACGAUUGCACUGAGCAUGUGCAACAAGCCUUUAAACCCCUAGGUGUCACUAGUUGGAGGAGUUGUGUCUCCUGAGGGUUUACCAGUUACGCUACCCACAAACGUUUCACUAAAAAGCAAAGGUGUUAUAGUUAUCACUUCCAUCAAUUAAUGAAAACCAAUGCAUGCCAAAUCACACUUCCAAAACUAAAGUUAUGCCCUUAUAAAUCAAUGCAUCACAAUGGAAAGUAUGUAACCAACAUCCCAAGCACUCGGGCUUAAAAAACAUCCACACUUGGCAUGUGUACAAAUUCGCCUCGACUCUAAGCCUCACUAGAUAUCACUCAAUUUUCUCACAAAACCUAAGCUUUCUCUCUUAACAAGCAUAUGUGAUGAUUUUAUGCAAAAGGAAUCAAUAUAUAAUCACAUAUGAUCAACAUUGAAAAACAGCAAAUUCUAAUGUGAUCCAUGGCGUCCAGGACUCACGUUCUAAUGAAUGGUACAAUUUCUUUUUUUUUAAAGCCUCCCAACAAGCGUUUUUUUUUUCUUUCUUUUUCUUUCUUUUGCUAAGUGUUUGACUUCAAUGGGGUUAAUGGAGCACACAAAAGUGUAGGAAAUAGGCCUUUUAGUAAUGGAAAACACGCAUAGCCUAACAUCGUUUCUAUAGUUUUGUCUAACUCAAUGGCAAAAACACCCAACAUAUAUUAAACUUCUUUAGUACCCAAUGCAAAAUAAUGUUAAUGAGAUCAUAAAAAUUAAAGAAAGGAAUUGAAAAGUGUUUAAGAGUAGAAACAAAUAAACCCUCUCAAGAAAAGCAUAGGCUCAACAACUCACAUGGGUAGUCUUCACUAUUUCUCCACAUCAUCCAAACAUGGACAGUUUGUCCACCAAAGUACUUGAGACAUGGAAAAAUGAAUGGUAAAAAAAUGUGAUGCAAAAACUUUCUAGGCAACCCUUUAGCAACUUAUGCUUCCAAGCUCUUAUUGUUUCCAACAAAUUCUAACACCCAAUCCCAAAAAUUUUAAUUCCUACCUCAUACUUUAAGUUUUAACAACACAAUUCAUCACAUAAAGAUGUAUAAAUAUAAGCAUGGAAGAAAAUGAGAUAAUAGGAAAAGAAUACACCUAUUUUUGGGUAUCAUGGAAGAAGGAAUGGCUUUAAAAACAAUGAAUUCCGAGCCAAAAUUGUUGUCUUCAUCAUAGGAUAAAAAUCUGCAAAAAUAAGCAAAACUAACUUUUAGUGACAAAAACAAUUCCCAGAAACUGUUGCUAAAAGUAUGAACAAGCCUUUUGUGACAGAGAAAAUCUUUGAAGAUCGUCACUAAAGCUUUUUUAUAACAGAAAAUCUGCAGAAAUUAUGCAGCAAUUUUACAUGUUUAUUUUCACUUUUUGAGCUUCUAAACCUCCCAAUUCACAAUGUAGGUCGAAUUUCUAUCCCAAAACUAUUCCAACACAGCAUAUUAAACAUUCUAAGGGCUGGUUUGGUAUUGCUGUGCUUUGAAAAAAAGCUGCUGUGAGAAUAAUCGGUUGUUCUGUGAAAAUAAGCAGUUGUGAAAUAAAUCAGCAAAGUGUUUGGUAAACUUUUUUGUAAAAGUGCUUUUGGAAAAAAAAGCAGUCUGAUAGUGGAUCUUUUCAUUAAAGGAGCACUGUAGCUCCAUGUGCUUUGAAAAAAAGCCAUUUUUCCAAAGCUACAAAUAGCAGCUUCAGCUUUUUCCUUUGAUUUCAGCUUAUUCUCACAGCAGCUUCCAAAAUAAGCCUUUUUUUUUUCAGUUUACCAAACACCUAAAACCCUCACAGCUUUUUUUCAUGGGUGCUUUUUUUUUUUAAGCAUCUCACUCCCAAACCACCCCUAAACAUGUUGGCAUCAUCAAAUUAACUUGAAAAACAUCCAAAAUUAAUUUAGGUAGCUAAGUUGAUUAUGACCAAAAUAUGAACUCAAAGUGCAAUUUGUAAUUUCUUUGGCAUAUAACAACAAAACCAAUCCAAACACAUUUGAAAUGACAAACUAAACAUGUUCAAAUCAUCAUGUGGGUGAAAGAAAUCAAUAUUAUUAAACUUGGAACAUAAAAACUUUAGUUGUUGACCUUAAAAACAAAAAUUCAAAUGAAUCAACCAAACUAAAAAAAAAAAAAAAAAACUAUUCUCUCCCCCCCAAACCUAAACUAAACAUUGUCCUCAAUCUAAAAUCACAACAUAAAGAUGCAAUGAGUAGUAUGGGACAAAAAGGAAGAAAAUGCAAAAUUAAUAAACAAGGAAAGGAACGAUUGAACCUGGUUGGGUUGCCUCCCAACAAGCACUUAGUUUAAAGUCCUCAACCCAACUUGGCAUUACAAUCACUUUGGAGAAGCAAGGGUCACAACAUUCGUGUUUCACUCAAAAUUGGCAGAAAGAUACGGCUUCAAUUGCUGUCCAUUAACCUUGAAUGUAGUAUUUGUUGUAUGAUCACGAAUUUCAAUCGUUCCAUAUGGAAAAACUUGAACAACUGUAAAAGGACCAAACCAUCGUGUUCGCAACUUCCCAAAGAAGAGUUUCAGCCGAGAAUUAAACAAAAGAACUUGCCAGCCAAUAUAAAACUCACGACAAAGAAUAUGUUGAUCAUGCCACUUUUUGGUACGUUCCUUGUAGAUUUUAGCAUUUUCAUAUGCAUCAUUCCGAAAUUCUUUCAUCUCGUUCAAUUGAAGAUCUUUUUUUUCUCCCACUGCAUCCAUCUCAAAAUUAAGCUUCUUCACUGCCCAAAAAAGCUUUAUGCUCCAAUUCCACAGGUAGAUGACAUGCUUUUCCAAACACUAAUCGAUACGGAGACAUGCCAAUUGGAGUCUUGAAUGCAGUCCGAUAAGCCCACAAUGCAUCAUCCAACUUUACAGCCCAAUCUUUGCAUGAAAGUCUUACAGUCUUCUCUAAAAUCUGUUUGAUCUCUCGAUUAGAAAUCUUAGCCUGCCCACUAGUUUGUGGAUGAUAGGGUGUAGUAACUUUAUGAAUGAUUCCAUAUUUCGCCAAGAGAGCAUUGAAGUGACGAUUACAAAAGUGGUUGCCUCCAUCACUAACAAUGGCAUGCGGGGUGCCAAAACGAGUGAAAAUAUGCUUCCGGAGAAAAUGAACAACAACCUUAGCAUCAUUAGUGCGUAGAGGGAUUGCUUCAACCCAUUUUGAAACAUAAUCCACAACUACCAAGAUAUAUUGAUUGCCAUAAGAUGAUGGAAAUGGUCCCAUGAAGUCAAUACCCCGUACAUAAAAAAGUUCGACUUCUAGAAUAUCAUUCAACGACAUUUGAUGUCUACUUGAGAUAUUUCCAACACGGUGGCAGCGAUCACAUACAUAAACAAAAGUAUGGGAAUCCUUAACCAAUGUAGGCCACCAAAAACCAGAUUGUAGUACCUUGGCAGCAGUCUUUGUAGCACCAAAAUGACCACCACAUGCUAGAGAAUGGCAAUGUCACAGGAUUUCCUCCAUCUCGUCAUCAAGAAAACACCGUCUUAUACAUUGAUCUGGACAAUGCUUCCACAAAUACGGCUCAUCCCAAUAGUAAUGUCUGACUAACGAAAUGGAUCUUUUCUUUUAUUGCCAAGUCAAAUUAGGAGGCAUGAUAUCACUAACUAAAUAAUUGACAUAAUUUGCAUACCAAGGUGUGACUGAAGAUUUAAUGGUAAAGAGUUGCUCAUUAAGGAAUGUUUCAGAAAUCAGAACUAAAUCAUUGUCACCUUCAUGAUGCACAAUUCGAGAAAGAUGAUCUGCCACCACAUUUUUAGACCCCUUUUUAUCUCGUAUCUCUAAAUCAAACUCUUGUAGUAAUAACACCCAUCGAAUCAACCGAGGCUUUGCAUCUUUCUUGGAUAAUAAAUACUUCAAAGUUGAAUGAUCGGUGUAGAUAAUUACCCUUGAACUAAUGAGAUAAGAACGGAAUUUGUCUAAAGCAAAGACAACGGCUAGAGGCUCUUUCUCGGUAGUGGCAUAAUUUAGUUGUGCAUCAUUGAGAGUUCGACUAGCAUAAUAAAUCACAUGCAAGAGCUUGUCUCUUCGUUGACCCAAGACUUCUCCAAUAUCAUAGUCACUUGCAUCACACAUAAUCUCAAAAGGUAAUUCCCAAUCCAGUGCAACUAUCACAGGGACUGUCGCGAGCUUCAUUUUCAACACAUUGAAUGACUCAAGACAUGAUGAAUUGAAACAAACUUUGCUUCUUUAAGGAGCAAGUUACACAACGGUUUUGUAAUCUUCGAGAAAUCCUUAAUAAAACGUUGAUAAAAACCAGCACGACCAAGGAAACUUCAAACUUCUUUGUUGGAAGUGGGUGGCGGUAACUUUGAAAUUGUCUCAAUUUUCGCCUUGUCUACCUUGAUGCCUUUGACUCAAACUUUAUGACCCAAAACAAUCCCUUCAUGCACCAUAAAGUGACAUUUUUUCCAAUUUAGAACUAAAUUGGUUUCUUCACAUCGUUGCAACACCGAGGACAAAUUAUCCAGACAAGAAUCAAACGAUGAGCAAAAAACAGAGAAGUCAUCCAUGAAUACCUCAAUACAACGCUCUACCAAGUCAGAAAAAAUACUAAUCAUACACCUUUGAAAAGUAGCAGGCGCAUUACACAACCCAAAAGGCAUACGCCUAUACGCAAAAGUACCGAAAGGGCAUGUGAAUGUCGUCUUUUCUUGGUCUUCCGGUGCAAUCGGAAUUUGAUUAUAACCAGAAUAUCCAUCUAAAAAACAAUAGUAAGCACAUCCAGCAAGUCUAUCCAACAUCAAAUCAAUGAACAAAAAAAGAAAAUGAUCUUUUCGAGUCUCAUUGUUCAAUUUCCUAUAAUCAGUGCAUACUCUCCAUCCUGUUGUAGUCCUCGUCGGAAUUAACUCAUUCUUGUUAUUCUUCACCACUGUAACUCCACCCUUUUUCGGUACCAAAUGCAAAGCACUCACCCAUUUACUAUCUGGAAUUAGAUAUAUUAUUCCAGCGUCUAAUAACUUCAAAAUCUCAGCUCGAACCACCUCCUUCAUAUUUGGAUUUAAUUUGCAUUGAUGCUCAACUGAAGGCUUGUAAUUGUCUUCCAACAAGAUCCGAUGCAUACAAACGGGCGGACUAUUUCCUUUAAUAUCAGCAAUACUCCACCCAAUUGCUAUUCUAUGCCUUCUUAACACUCUCAAUAAUUUUUCUUCUCCAACUUCACUCAAAUUAGCAGAAAUUAUAACAGGUAAAGUCUCAGCAGCUUCCAAGAAAGCAUACUUUAAAUGUGACGACAAUGGUUUCAAAUUUAAGGUAGAUGUGGCUAUGAUACUUGGCUGCGAUUUUGAAGGUGCAGGUCCAAGGUCUUCGAACUCCAACCAUCCAUUCUUUGCAACCAAUUUAAAAGCAUCCAAGUAAAGAGCACAUUCCGCUAAAAGUUGAUUUUCAUCUUCUGAAGUAGCAACAUGAACUAGUGCAGCUUCCAUAGGAUCAUUGGGUUUCUCAACUUUGAAUUUUUUUGAAAUAGUGGUAUCAACUAGAUCGACACAAGAACAAUCCUCCGCUUCUCUUGGAAAUUUUCCAGCCUCGAACACUUUGAAUGUUGCUUUCUCCUCCCCAAUUCUCAAUGUCAAAACCCAUUGUUCCACAUCAAUUAAAGUCCUUGCUGUGAUAAGAAAUGGCCGACCCAAAAUUAACCGAGUCUCAAAAUCUUCUUCCAUAUCCAACACUAAGAAAUCUGCUAGGAAAAUCAGCUUGUUAACCUUCACUAACACAUCUUCGAUAAUUCCCUCUAGAUAUGCAAUUGAUCUAUCCGCCAUCUGCAAAGAAACAGUAGUGGGUUUAAUUUCACAUAUUCCAAUGUUCUUAGCAACAGAUAACGGUAAUAAUUUAAUACUAGAACCCAAAUCACAUAACGCUUUUUUAAAUAAAUUAAUGCCAAUAAUGCAUGGAAUUUUGAAACUCCCUUUAUCUUUUUGCUUGAGCAGAAGCUUCCUUUGAAGGAUUGCAUUGCAUUCUUCCGUCAACUGAAUCUUCUCAUUAUCACUAAAUUUUCUUUUCUUUGAGAUGAUAUCCUUCAUGAAUUUGGCAUAGUUCGGCAUUUGCUCCAGAGCAUCGGAAAAUGGAAUGUUAAUCUCCAAUUUCUUAAACAUCUCUAAGAAUUUGAAAUACUUCUCAUCUAACUUAUUCUUCUUGAGCCGUUGAGGAAAAGGAAUAGGAGGCACAUAUGGCUUCACAGGUGAGACAACAGGCUUAGCUAGCGGCACAGCGACAAUGACAGAUUUCGGAGAAGUGUCGGUAGUGGUUCCCGUGGUGGUUGAUGGUUGUAAGAUAGCUGACAAUGGUUGCUACUCUUGUGCAGUUUCUUUGACCUCUUCCUCCUCAAUAUUUGGUCCCAAAUCCACUCUAGUCUUCACUUGUUUUCCAUUCCGAAGAAUUAUUACUUUAGCUUGCUCAUGAUUUCUCGGGUUAACUUCAGUUUGGCUUGGAAAAGAACCUUUUUCUCUAACUACCAAUGAUUGAGCUAACUACCCCAUUUGGACCUUCAAAUUUUUUAUAGAAGCAACCUGGUUCUAAAGAGUUGUCUCAGUUUUGCUCAUAAACUAAUUUGUAUUGACAGAAAGAGUAUUCACAUUAUCGGCAAGCUGAGCAAUGACAUCUUCCAAAUUAUUCUUCUUCUCUUGAGGUUGGAAACCUGAUGGUGGCUUUUGCACAUUCUGAUUGUUGACCCAUGAGAGAUUUGGAUGGUUUCUCCAUCCUUGAUUAUAAGUGUUGGAGAGUACGAAUUGUUACCAGGACGUCUAUAAACAUUCACCAUGUUCGCUUGCUCUUGAACAAAUUCUGGAAAAUCAACUUCAUACGGACAACCAACUGUGGCAUGUCCAAGAACUGCACAUAUGGAACAAACCUCUUGAACUAGUGCUCUCCUAUUCAUAGAAAGCAAAGUGUGCAGUUUACUAGCAAUCGCAUCAACUUGUGCCUUUGAAGCAAAAGCAUUAGCAUCAACAUUAUUAAUCUAAAAAACUCCUACACGUCUUCCUCUUGCUUCACAAUGUUGCAUUUCGAGUGCUAGAGUAUCAAAAAGUGCUUGACAUUCGGCUAAUGUCUUGUUCUUAAUUGAUCCCCCUACAUUGUUGUUCACUGUAGCUUUGCUUGAAACUGUUAAUCCUUUAUAAAAUAUCUGCAUGAGAACGAGAGUAGGCAAACCAUGGUGCGGACACUGAAUCAAUAAAUUAUUGAAUCUCUCCCAUGCCUAAAAAAAAGUCUCAUCUGUAUGUUGAGUGAAAUGCAUGAUAUUAUCUCUUAAAGUAUCAGUCUUCUGGGUCGAGAAGAAUUUCUCCAAAAAUUUAUUUUGAAUAUCGUUCCAACUCGUCAAGGUUCUAGGCCUCAAAGAAUUCAAUGUCUUUCAAAGUGUAUGGAAAGACCUUCAUCCUGAGGUUUUCCUCGGUGACUCCUUCUACCAAUGCCAUGUUUGACACCGUAUUGAAGAUAUCUCUAAUAUGUGCCAAUGGAUCUUCAGUGCUCAUGUCAUGAAAAGAAGGCAUCAUAUUAAAGUGGAUAGUCUUCAAUUCAUAAUUCCUUGUAGCUGUAGGAAGAGCUAUGCUUGACGGUGAUUCCAGAAUGGUUGGAAUAUCAAGAUCUCCCAUCGUCUCAUUAUGAACUAACGCCAUCUUGCUCUCUUGCUGCUUUUCUUUCUCAUUGACUUCUCUUUGUUCUCUUUGGGUUUCACGGAGUCUUUUCUCAAUUUCUGGUUCAAACUCAAGUAAUACACAAUCCGAUGAACGAGUACCAAGCAUUCACCUUCAAGAAACAAUGAAAAAAAAAAGUGAGAAUGGACCGAGAAAAAUUGAUCAAAAUAAAAAAAAAAAUAAAAUAAAAAUAAAAUAGAUUGAAAAAUCACAAAAGUAAAAUUAUCUUAAAUUUGAUCCGAGGCAGCGGCGCCAAAAACUUUUUGUUGAUAAUUGUAAGUGUACAAUAUCGUCCAAGUAAUAUAGUGAUAAGUAGAGUAUUGUUCAAAUAAGGAUCGGAUUAACAUAAAUUUACUAUUGAGAUUGACUCCAAGCUAAACAUAAAUAAAAGAAGGAUUAUGAUGACAAAUUCAACUAUGCAAAGAAACCAAACGAAAGUGAAAAUAACAAUUGAUCAAACAUGAAGUAAAAGUGUAUGAAUUAUGAAAGAUUAAUAUAUUGAAGCACUAGGACAUUAGGUUCCUCAUUCUCAAUUCCAUCUAUUCCCAUUAUUCAUAUUAACAUCAAAUUAUUCCCAUGUUGCUAACAAUUAUCCCUUGAUUCAUCAAUACUUCCUGUUAGAAUAUACUAACCGUGUUUCUAACUAUCUACCCAUGCUAUGUCUAGCCACAGAUAUAGAUAAUUGAAACCCUUUACGCUAAAUGGAUAAUUACACAAUACUACACAAAUCAUAACCAGUAUGUCUACUCAAUUAUGUAAUCCAUGGUAAUUGUUAUGAGAAGCAAUCUACUAAACUUAGCCUAUCAGUCACGAUUUAGAUCUCCAUGCAAAUAAUGGCCAGUUAUUUGAUAACAAGAAUUAGAUGUUCAUGAUAAGAGUACACCCUAGUCCUAGCAAAAGGACUUAGUUCAUGAUUAAACUAAUGACAAACAUGGAUGAAUUCGAUGACAUAAAGAAACCCAAAACUCCAAUUUUGUAUCUGUGUGCAAUAAGGCCUGGGAAUCUACAACCUUCUGUGAAGUUGUCCCUCUCCAAGUCAGUGAGUGUGCGUGAGGGUAUUUGAUCCUUACCUCAUGGGAAAAGUUAACAGAUCACCAGAGUUCAUCGGGCCUUUGCCACUGCAGGACUUCCAUGUCAUUGGCUUGGGUUUGAGAUGGGAAAAGAAAUGACGAUGGUGGUCUGGUAUGGUUCAAUGGCUUAUGUGGAGCUCGUUGGAGUGGGGGAGAGGUGUGGUGGCCUUCCUGGCUUCAAUGGAUGCAUAUAAGAUGAGGGAUGAGAGAGUAGAUAGAGAACGAGUCUGAGGGAGAGAGAUGAGGUGAGGUGAGAGAGAAAUGGGGAGAGUCCAAGAGAGUCCCCAAUGGGGGACCAAAUAUGUAUUUUCUGUAUAUUUGACGGGUAAUGCUAGAGAGACCAAAUUUUUUAAACGAAAUUUGCAAACCAAAAGAUGUGGUUGUAGAUGAUUGAAUUAUUGAUUAAGUGUUCAUUAAUGUGUUUGUUUCUUAUUAGGGCCACAUUAGUUGAUUUAAAAAAUUUGGUUCUCUAGCAUUACCCAUAUUUAACAUUAAUUGUUUGACUUUUCUUGAGAUUUAUAAUCCCAUGUGUGUGUGUACAUAUAUAUAUAUAUAUAUAUAUAUAUAUAUAUAUGGCAUAUACAUGUGAAAUUUACAAUAAAAAAUUCUAACAUUUUGAUUGAAGAAAUGGAUAAAAACAAUGUAACAAUAUGAAAUAAUAAAUGGAAAAUGAAUGUAUCCAUAGUGUUAAAAAAUUGGUACAUUUUACAUAUGACAAAAGUGAUAUAUUUAUAAAAAAGAAUGGAUACAUUAUUAAUACGGGUACAACAAAAAGAAUAAAAAUGUCACGAAUAAAAAUGAAAUUUCAAAAAAUAUGUGCACAAAAGUAAAUAAUAUAUGGGUACAAAUUAAAAUAAAAAAUAAAAUUAAUACAAAUUUAAGAAAAAUGGUUGCAAAUGAAAAUUGGGUACAAACUGAAAAUAGAAAUAUAUGAUACAAACUUUAACCAUAAAUAUAAAUAUACUAAAUAUAAUGUUUCUAAUGCUAAUUAAAUAAUGACCGUCAUUAAAAUCUAAAGACUUUUGUAAAAAAUUAUAAAGAAAUAAGAUUUUAAUUAAUAGAAUAAAAAAAUAAAUGAAAACUUAAUUUCUCUAUUAAUGAAUUAAAGCAGAGCCACUAACAGUUAGGCAACUUUAGCUGAAAAACCCCCAUCAAAAAUAUCAAUCACUCUUCACUAGUCCUUGAUGGCUUCCAAUUUCCAUGAUUCAAGAUAAUCACAGUGCAUGCAUAUACAAAUAAAUCCACAACCUCAUAAUUGAGAGAAAUUUUUCACUGUCUGAAACAAAGGUAAUAUAGUACAUGUUAUGUAAAGGAGGGUAAAUUUUAUUUUCAAAUGUCUGUUUACUUAUAUAAUAUCAUGUGAUAAACUAUUUGUAUUCUGACCAUACUAAAAAAUCUUAUUCAUAAAUUAUACAGGACCAUCAGCACUACAGAAAGCAUAUAUAGGAUGAUCGUACGGUUGGCAUUUCACAACAUUGUUGGUACAUGUUAUGACAUCAUCUUCCUAAAGAAGAUACCUAGUUUGGGAAAGGGAUCCUCUCCGGAUCCCUUUUUUCUAAUCUACCAAAUUAAGAAUAAGUGCUAUUGAAAUUUAAUCCAACGGUUAAAAUUAUUAUAACUUUUAAAGUGGACAUCUGUUUAUGUUGUUUGAUGAAAACUUAAUUAUUUUUCCAUAUUACAUGAUGCAAAAUCGUACUUUCGGUUUCUCGAUUAAGUAGGUACGUCAAAUCUGUGUUUGCAUUUUACUAGACUAAUCUCUUGGAGUAGUUCUUCAUUUAAAUAAGAAUGCUAAUAAUCUUUCUUUUUUUGGACUUUUUCGUUUUAGCUUUUCAGCUCUCCUUCUCAUUCGUGAUGUUGUACAAUAAUUUGAAUUGUUUUUUUUUUAUAUAUAUAUUGUUCUUUAAAGAUUAUCUUUGCAAAAAUUAAUUAAGUCUAAAAUUCUAUAGUUAUCUAACAAUUAUUUAAUAAAAGAGGAACCAUGUUUGUCACUAAGACAGUGAAAUUUUAUCAAUGUUUAAUCGAAGGUUUAAACCAUGUUUAAUUUGGUUAAUAUUUUGGCAGCAUUGAUCUUUAAAUGGCGACCUAAAAAUAAGAAGGUUUCAAGGGAAAUACUCUAAAAUUCGACAAUUUCAUAAUCUUGGAACAGAAAUAGGACAAACCAGCUAUGCAUAAAACCAAAAUUACUAAAAUACCCACAUAUAAAUACUAAAACUCAGAAGCUUAUUGCAUCACUGUUCUCAUUUGGAAGAGAGGGAUGUCGGGAGAGCUCUGUGAGGUCUAGGUUUCUAGAUUGAGCUCAGAUCUCUGAACUUCGAUUUCCAAGAGACAAAGUCCAAAGAGAAGUGAGAAGAGUGAGCUAGGUUUUGGGUUGAUCUCAUACCUCUAAUUUCAAACAAAUGUAUGCGAGGGAGAGGUGAGAAGAGUGAGCUGGGUUUUGUACCAUAUUUUAUGUUUUGGCUAUAAAGUUCCAUUUUUCCGGCGACUAAAGCUUCGGCAUGCAUAGUAAGGUAGGGUGUUUAGUUCCAAGUUCCUUUAUCAAUGAUUUAUGGAAUAAAUGAGUUGUUUGUAAGAUAAAUUAACUUAGAAGUUAAAUUAGGGUUUGUGUUUCAUGUUGGGCCUAUGGGUUGUGGAAUAAAUUUCAGGUUUUGACAUGCUACAAAACUAGGAUGGAACAAUUUCUUAUUCAAGUGUUCAAUUGCAUAAAUUUGUGAAAUUUUUUCCGUAAUGUGCAUGUGGUGUGCAUAAAGUAUGCAUGGCUACAUCUUAAUAUGAGAAGCAAGAAUGUUCACUAGUUAUGAUGCACGUAUGUUGUGCUCCAGAAUUUAGCGAGUAUGACCACAACCUAGUUGGCCUCGGUGAAAAACAAAAUUAAGAAAAAGAUUAGAGGACGUUGAGGAUCAUGCAUAUCCAUGAAAUAAUGACUACAAGUAUCAUGUUUUAUACGUGCACGAUUUAGCGGUUAUUGAUAUACGUAACAAGACUUUUCAAACUGCCACUGUAACCUUAUAUACGUAACAAUUAUGUUUUAAUUGUAUCCACUAUACCAAUAGGUUGUCGUUAAAGUUUCUUAUUAAUGCAAAAAGCAGCUUGUUGCUCAAUCUUUAGCUCUGUGCAUAUCAUGUGCAUGUAUUAUACAUAUGGUGUGCAUGUGGUGUAUAUAUAGUGUAUAUAGACAUGUGAUGACAUCAUUUUUCUGAUUUCAAAGAGCGAGCUGUGAACUCUGGGUCUUUGGGUUGGCAGAUUUGUGAGCAUGUCAUGUGCAUGUCGUGCACAUACAAUGAGCAAAUCCUGAAAAAUUAAUCCAACAAAACACCAGCAUUUAAUGACUGGGCUUUGUUCCCACCCUCGAUGCGAGUCUAGUGGUGAUGGUCUCGAGCCUCGAUUGUUUGCUGUGUUGCCAGAAAUGGCCAGAAAACUCGCGGCCUGCUUGAGUUUUGAUCCCAAUGAUCGGGGAUGAGAUUUGUGACAGGACUAGGUGUUUUGGACUCAUGAGGACAAGAUGAAAUUGGUGAUGGCUUCAAUUUGGACGGUGUUGGUUGGGACUAUUGUGCACCAUGUUUGCAUAAUGAGAAGGGGAGAGAGAGUGUGUGAGAGAGAAAGUGAGAGAAGAGAGAGAAGGAAGGAGAGAGAGAGAGAGUAGAUAGAGAAAUUAGAAAAUGGGAGGAAAUAACUUAUUUAUAUACGAGGGCAAUUAAGUCAUUUCAUAGUGUAGAAGAAAUAUAUUUCUGUCCGAUUGUUGUGCAUAGCGUGUGAAUAUUCGAAAUUUCUAUUUCUGUCCCAAGAUUAAGAAAUUGUCCUAUAGAAUUCUUACUUUCAAUCAUUUAACUACAUUGUAAAAUUAAAAAAAAAAAAAACCGCAAUUCAAAGAUAAAAUGAGAAAGUUCGGGCAAGAAGGUUCCUAGCAUUCACAUUAAUUUUUUUUCGUGUGAAUUGUGGAGUGACGUGGUCAUGAUGGAUACGAUUGAAGACGGCUCUGUCAUACGUCACAGGGAGAGGAUCUUAUUAGCUACCAAAGCUAGUUAAUCAUUGAUUUCUAGAUAAAUGGCUGCAUGAGCAAUUAUUUCAGAUUUUACAGUCUCUAUAAAUUGAGACUUUGCUCCAGCAAAACUAUAAAUUGAGUAAUGCCCAUCUCCAAAACUACACAUUUUAUAUUUCCUUUUUCCUCUCACUAGCUAUUCUGCUGCAGAUCUAAUAUAACUCUCGGUCUACAACUGCUUGCUCUAGCUAGGAAAUAAAAAAUGGCAUCAAGAUCUUCAGUAGUUUUCUGUUUGGUUUUGCUUGUGGCUUCGUGCUUGGUCAAGAUAGAGGAAGCUGCUAGCACUGGUCUCUCUCUCUCUCUCUCUCUCUCUCUCUCUCUCUCUCUCUCUCUCAUGCACACAACGCUAGUUCUAUUAACUACAUUGUAAAAGAUGAAAUUGGUACAGAGGAAGAGAAAGAAUUGGUAGAGAGAAACAGAAAGAUUGUAUUGAUUGAAUAGAGAAAAUGUAUACAAAAUGAACUUAAUGAAAUGAUAGCUAUACAAUCCCUUAUAUAGCCAUAUAACCUAAUUACAAUAAUACCCCUCUAACUAUAUUUCUGUUAUAUCAGUUAUUACUCCCCCCUCAAACUAAACUUGAAGUAUCCAAGUGAAGUUUGAACUAGCCAGGGAUUUGAGAUUGAUCUGCAAUUACUGGUCUCCAACUGUCUGCCCAGUUCCGUGGCUGCUCCUAAUGCCUGUAACAUCACCAAAAUCAUCUAAAGUCUCGCUCUCAAGAUGUAAAAUGUCAUCCUUGCGCACUGCAACCAUCUUGGACAACAAAGCAGUGAACUUGCUUAGUAGAGUCCAAAUUAGCACUAAAUCCAUUAGAAUUGUCGUUUCUUUAAGCAGAACCCAAUACAAGCUCCCCAACAGGUAGAUCAAUGAGCUUAGCAAUACAAUCAAAUCUGGUCUUGGUCUGAACGUACCCAACAAGUUGUCGACUGUGAACUGAGAAGCCAUAGUAACACACUCACUGUAUAUGCAAAUUAUCCCUCCUAAAUCUUGACAGAAACUGGCACCAAAUCAACAAUGGAGAAUGACACUCCAAGAAACUAAAUCUACCAAGGAGAAUGACACUCCAAGAAACUAAAUCUACCAAGGAGAAUGACACUCCAAGAUCUUCCGAACACCAAAAUUAACCAAGGAGAAUGACACUCCUGAAAUCUUCCGAACACCAAAAUUAACCAAGGAGAAUGACACUCCAUAUCAACUGAAUGACUCCACAUAUCAACAAUUUGCAUAGGCAAGAAACAUAUAUGGCUUUGUAUCUCAACAAUAUUCCAAACACUUCAACACUUUUCAACAACUACAGAGACUGGAAAUGACCUGAUCUCACGAUUGUCUGCUAUGGUUGCUGAAAGGUUGGGCAGCGAUGAGUGCACACCACAAUCGACAACAUCUGGGCUAUUCAUGUGUGCUAUUAACCUUGCAUCGAGCGAGGGCAUAUUGGUUCACGGAGUUAGAGUUAACCAGCAAAGAGGAAAGAAUCUCUAGAACCGACAAACACCACCAUCUCGAAUCUUCAAGAAUUACAGAAUCGCAGAAAUUCACAGCUCCACCAGAUCAUCAAAGUAAUAGAAUAGAGAACAGAACAUGGAUCAAAUAACACCAAAGAAGCACAGAGAGCUAAUAUACAAACUACACCAAGAAUGUAGAGCAAAUACCACCUUAGAAGAUCCCAUAUCACAAGGCAGACACAACAGAGAAUCAAGAAACCGACAACAUCCCAAAUCUGCAAGAGCUUUCCACACUAGAGAAGGGAACACGGAGCAGUGGCAAAUAUAGAAUUCAGAGAGCUAAUCUGCGAACACUACUAAGAAGAAAGAAAUAGACCAAUAAUCUUGAAAUCACUCUUUGACAUUUCGUCAAACAAAUAAUGUGCAAGAAUGCACUUGCCAAUUGAGGAUGACAUUUGAAGAAUCGGUGAUGUCAAAUUUGAGGAGGACAUAACUUCACAUGAAAUUUCUGAGUUGGGCAAUAUGUCAAACACCUGGACUGCAGCGAACAAGAAGCAUAUGAUUUUGGGAAACACCAAGAAGUCCAGAAUCCAACCCAUACAACUCUAGCUCCGACUAAAUCCUUGUUGUCACCGACCAAAACCCACCUGACUGGUAUACUGUUCUUCAAAUAUCCCGACCCAGAUCUGUAAACCCAACUGUCAUCCGGACCCAGUUGAAAUCGACGAGGUCAGUGACGACGUUUUUCAGGGUGGUGAUCACAGAGUCGCCUAGAACACGUUGGUGGCACCAAGGAUCUCCAAAAGAACGCUCAUUCUUAGUCGAUUCGCAUCCACAAAAACUAAGUAAGAAAUUGAUUCUGCUUCUUUCUCCGAUUCAGGGAUUAGAGAGAAGAAGGAAACACCAAAGAACUUAGACGAAAAAUUCAAGAAAAUCUGAAGAGAAAAUAAAACUCGAAAAAGAAAUCUAAAAAAAAUAAAAAUACGGAACCACCAGAAUCAGUGGCGUAAGCCUGGUGGCUCUGAUACCAUAUUAACUACAUUGUAAAAGAUGAAAUUGGUACAGAGGAAGAGAAAGAAUUGGUAGAGAGAUACAAGAAAGAUUGUAUUGAUUGAAUAGAGAAAAUGUAUACAAAAUGAACUUAAUGAAAUGAUAGCUAUACAAUCCCUUAUAUAGCCAUAUAACCUAAUUACAAUAAUACCCCUCUAACUAUAUUUCUGUUAUAUCAGUUAUUAAGUUCGUUAUACAUAAAUAUAUAGAUAAUAAGUAUCUGAUUUUCUGUAAAUUAAGUGAAUUGUUGUAGUGAUAAGUUUUGGUUUUCUUUCUGUUAACAUAAUGCAGGCGCAUUGGCCAUGGGUGCUUUGAUGGCAAGGAAGCUGUUUUCCAGGGGAGACACAACAGAAGGUGUGCGCGCGCGCGCGAGCGCGCGCACACACACACACACACACACACACAUAUAUAUAUAUAUAUAUAUAUAUCCACAUUUUUAUUAUAUAUAUUUAUUUAUUUUGAAACAAUUCUACAUAAGUUUUCUGCUUGCAUGCAUGCGCAGAUGUUUGUUGGUGGCAGUGGCAAUGACAUCAAAAAAAAGGAAAUGAACAAGGAGGUUGGUAAGAGCAAGGUCCUAAAAAUCGCUAGGCUCUAGUCAGGGUCUAGGCAGGCACAUAGACGGUCUAGGCGGAUUUGUAUUUUUUUUAAAUAAAUUUAUUAUAUAACAUAUUAACAUAUAAAUAUACAUAUAUUCACACUUAUAAAAACCAUACUUGUAUAGAGAAAUUAGAAGAAAAAAAAUGUAAAUUGAAAAAAUACAAAAAAAAAUAUUUAUUAUAAAGAAUAGUGGGCUUAGUUUUAAAUCAAAAUGGAUCUAACUUGAAAGAAAUGCCUAUUUUCAAUUAAACCACCUCGAUUCCUUCUCCGCAGCUUUCUCCAAGGCCAAGGCCAGUCCCGACUCCCAAGUCCCCAACCAUCAUUUGGUUAGUGGAAAAGUGGCUCUAGCAUUUAUGCCUUUUUUUGCUCCUUUUUCCUUCGACUCUCUCUCUCUCCUCUUCUCUGCAGCACAUCCCCUUUUUCUGCAGCAAAACCCAUCAUCUUCUUAAUCUACUUGAGGCGUCGUGAAUUCUAGUUUUGUUCUACAGUUUUUUUAUUUUUUAUUCUUUAUUCUUUAUUUUUUAAUUUCUGUGGGUUUAUCGAUUGAUGUUGGGUGUUGGAGUGCUGGUUUGAAGAUUUGGGUUGUCGGUGGUGGAUCGUGCGGAUGUGAGGCAAGAUUUGCAGCGAGAUUGGGAGUUGCUUCGACUGCCGCCUAGGCCACCGCCUAGCGCUGCCUAGACAUCAUUGAGCGCCUAGGCGGCCGCCUAAAUUCACCCCACCUCACCUGAACGCCUUAGCCUAAAUUGGGUUGGGACUCCACCGCCAAGCACCUAGGUGGUCGUCUAGGCCGAUUUUUAGAACAUUGGGUAAGAGUGGGAAGCUGCUGCAGGAUGAAGAAGCUGACGAUGAUACCAUGAAUGGAAAGAGCAAGUUGGAGGUUGGGUAGAAGUUAAGAAAAGCUCCCUCAGGUCCUGACCCGCUGCACCACAAUGGAAAUGCCCCCAAAAAGCCUCGCACUGAUCCUUAAAAAAUUAGGGUUUUCCCAUCGACCGGUCGAGCAAGAGCUAGCUAGUUAAUGUACUUGUACUUGAUCUUUAGCUAGGUUACUUCAUGCACUGGUUAGCUACCAAUGGAGGAGACUUUUGUAUUCAGGACAGGACAUGGAGGGCAUUAUGUAAAAUCUGUUUUAUUGUAUGGAACAUAUAUAUCAAUGUUUGCAUAUUUUGGUCUAUUUAUUUAGUCCUUAGUCUUCAAUUUUAUGCUCAAAUUCUUGUUACUCUCCUUUCUCAAUAGAUCCCUUAUGAUUUGUUUGGUUAAUCAUCAAACAAAUUAUAGUUUUGUAUCAAAACAUUAAAAUCAGGGAAAUUUUACUUGGACUCAUUUAUUCUCUUUCUACACUCAAUUUAUUAUUUGUUAUCUUGAGAUUUCAAAUGUGCUAAAUAAUUCUUUUUCUACACCACACAAGGACAAAAUAAAUAAAAAUAAUUCAGAAAUAGGCAACUCCAGCCACCUUAUCUCUCUAAACCUCAACCACCUAGUUUCUAGCCCUCUCCAACCCCUCACUGCCACCUCCUCUACCACCACAACAAUUUGGAAAUUAGGAGAACCUUAUCCCCUAACAACCCACCAUUGAAAACACCCAAAAGAAAUUUAUAUCAAUAUUGCUUUAGAAAAAAUCAUGAUAAUAUUAAAAUUGUGAUUUUUCACAUAUAUCGUACAUUCAAUGGUCCAACACAGUCAAAUUUGACUCAUCGACAAUUUUCGGUGAAAUUCGAACAUGUUAGAAGGACUGCAUGGAAGAGGGAGCUAUUGUGUGAUUGGAAAAAGGUCAGAUCUUUGAGAUUUUCAUUGUGGGUGGUAAUGGAGGUGGUUGGGUAGGUGUAGAAAUUGAGGGCGGCUAGAGUUUGGAGAGAUGGGGUGGGCGAAGUUUCCUAGUGCUGAAAUUUUAUUUUUUAUUUAUUUAUUUAUUUUGUUCUUUUUCAUUUUAGGUGUAGAAAGAGAAUUUUUUUUCGUAUAUUCGAAAUUUUAAGAUUAAAAAUAAGAAGUAUGGGUGUAGAAAGAGAAUAAAUGGAUAUGAAUAAAAUUUUCCUUAAAAUUAAUAAGUUAACCACUGAUUUAAUAAAGCACCCAAUUAGAAAAAAUAAUUAUAACAACUAGUUUCAUAAUGCUAGGGAGACCAAUUUUUAAAUCAAAUUUUGUAAACCAUAUGUUGUUGUUGUUAAUGAUUGGAAUUGAUUAACGUGCUUAUUUUGUGUUGGUGACAAAUGGUUUGCAAAUUUGAUCUACCUAGUAUUACUCAAAUUUUAUAUAAUGUUAUUGAGUAUACGGUACUUUCAUUUUUCAGCCAAUAAAUCUUUGAUUGUGUUAUUAAUUAAAAAUCUAACACAUAAAAAUAUUCAAAAUAUCAAAUACUCUAGAUGUGACGACCCGUCCCAAAUAAAUAUAUAUUUUCUCCCCAAAUGUGUGAAAAUGACGAUUAUGCCCUCGUUGGCUUGGUGACGUGGAUGUACGUAUAUAGUUUUAAAUUAUUUUCUCGCUCGCAUAAUUAAAUGGUGCUCGACGUCACGGGCACGUCGACCUAACUUAAGAACGAGAAUGGAUGAAAUUCUAUUUUUGGAUUGGUUUAUUUCUUCUUUGGACCCAUUUUUUUAGGGCUUAAACUUUACGGCCCAAUCAAGGGCCUUAUUAUUUUUCCCUUCCUACCCGUGCCUCCCUUCACUCCAGAAACUUUCCCUCUCUCGAUGCUCUCGUCCCUGACACAACACACACGCACAUACUGCAACUAUCAAGACUUCUGUAAUACCCUGAAAAUUUAAAUAUAUGAAUUAUAUAUUCAUAAUUAUGAAAUGUGGAGAAAAUCGGAAAUGAAUCAAUUUAUGGUUAUGAAGAAAUUAAUUGAGAACUCCUAAGUUUUGGUUUUCAGAAAUUAUUAAAAUUUAAGUAUUUUUAUGAUUGAGAUUUUAUCUUAGUUUUGAGAAUUUAUAUUAAGUUAUUAGAGUUUAGUUUUAAAUUAAACUAGUUACGAGGUUUAAAGUUUGGACCUUAAUUAUUUAAAAUACGUAGACCUUUUGAGGUCAAAAUUUUUAUUUUUGAAUAGAGCUCGACCUCAUGAACGUAGGAGCAAACCGUUCGUGAAACGGAGUUAGAACGAAUAAGUUAUAAACGUUUAAAGUCGGAGAUAAAUUGGUAAUUUUAAACAUGUAUAGAAGGCUCCAGAAAAUCUGGAGCCAUUUGACAUGCCACAUGUGUGGCUGAGAUGAAAAGAAGAAACAAAAAAUGGACGGUUGAGAUUGAAAGAAAAGCAUAGAAAGGAGAGAAGGGGGAAGGAAUCAAGGGAGGAUGGCCAAUGAGGGUUGAGAGAAAGGAGAUGAAAGGAGAGAAGGGGAGAAUGAGGGAAUCCUUCGACCCGGUUAUACUUACGAGCCGACCUGGUUGGAUCUUUUGAUUCCGGCCACCUUAGACGACGGGAAGGGUGCCAAAUUGAUCCUUACUUCAAACCCAAUCAUUCCCUCUUCCUAGUUCACCCCAAAAAUAACAUAUUUGGCCUUGAAAUUAAGAAAAGCGCACCGGUGGGUGCGGCGGCCAUUACUCUGGAUUCCCCAAAGUUUGAAAUGUUUCCAUCCAAUUACAACCACCAAAACACUCUCCUUAAACCCAGGAACAAAGCCCAUGAUUUGGUUAGGGUAUCGGAGUGGUUUUGGAGUCUAAUCAAGAACACCCAAAAAUAAGGGUUCUGAUGGUUCGUGGACAAUUUGAGGUGUUUCCAGGCCAAAUUGGCUUUGUCCACAGGUAUGAAAGUUGUUCUACUCAUUAAGAUCUACUUGACUGUAAAAUUUUGAAAUUUUUGGAAAAAGUUGAAUUUUCCGGCGAGUCGGGGCAGCCGACCGCCACCCGCGGCAGUGCCUAGCCAGUGGGCUAACUCUGCCAUUUUUCAUGCUAAUUUUGAUGUUCUGAAUCCAUAUUUUAUAUUUAUAUGGUGUGAUGAAAAUGUUUGGAUUGAAUUUGUGAUUAUUGGUUACUAAAAUGUUAAAGUUAAUGAAUUACGAAGUGUAUGUGAACUACGGGAGGCUUGAUCCCGCUCAAGGGUACAUAGGCAGUCUAAUAGUGUUAGAUGCAACCUUAAAUAAUCGAGAAUUUUAUUUUAGUUGAGAAUUAUUCUUAGAUCCUAAAUUUAUUUAAGUGCAGGAAAGGUAGUAAAUUGAUAAAUAUAAUUGUUAUGCUUUGGUAAGAGAAUUAAGGUUAUAGAACGUGUGGAAUUAAGGAACUUAGUUAAAGAGUCGUGAAUAUUGGCAGCUAAAUAAACGAGAGUUUAAAUUUUGGGCCUAUCACCGAUAAUUAUUGCCGAAAAUAAAUAAUUUCGGGGGCGGGGUGUUACAAAUGGUAUCAGAGCAAAUGAUCCUACUCUGUAAUAUGCAAUGUCCUUGAAUUCUUGUUGGUAUGAAUGAUGAUAUGCAUUGUGGUUGCAUUUCACAAUUUUUGUGAAUAAAGUGGCAUGCAUGUGAUAUAUAUAUAUAUAUAUAUAUAUAUAUAUAUGUGUGUGUGUGUGUGUGUGUGUGUGUGAUACAUAUAUGAUUGGCCUCGUAUUGUGGUGCAAUUUCCAUGGUGAUUAUGAAAUUCCUAAAGUAGAAAUUAUUAUUAGCAUUGCUAUUGCAUUACCCUCCAAGUUCUUUGUAUAAUGAGGAAGUUAUAUGGUGUAUAUAUACAUACAUAUCUACAUUGUGAAUUAUCCUGAAAUGAAGUGGCUUGGAUUGUUAUUGUGUUAUGCACUAGGAAAAUUUAAAUUCAAAGAUGAUGGUGAAGGGGUGACAAGUAGGUGGGUUGUACCUGGACAAUUGAAAAUUUAAAUUGGGCACAAUGACCCGUGGAUGUAAAUUGGGCACAAUGACCCGUGUAUGUGAAUUGGAGACAAUGACCCGUGGAUAUGUGAAUUGGGAGAAAAGGCCCAUGGAUGUGAAAUUGGGCGAAAAAGGCCAGUGUAUGUGAAAUUGGGCGAAAAAGUCCCAUGGAUGUGAAAUUGGGCGAAAAAGGCCCGUGGAUGUGAAAUUGGGCGGAAAAAGGCCCGUAGAUGUGGAAUUGAAAAAAAAAAAAAAGAGAAAAAAAAAAAGAAAAGGAAGUGUGUUGUGGAUUGGUCAAGUAUAUUACAAUCUUUUUCAGCCUACUAGUUACUGUUGGAGAUAAAAGAAAAUGGUGGUGGAAUCAUUGUGUUGACAAUGGUAAGUGUGGCUAGAAAUGUAAAAUGUUUGGCAAAUGAUAAUUGUAGUUGGAAAUUUGGUAUUUAUUAAAGUCAUGACAAUUUAUCGAAUGAAAAUAAAAAGUAUAUGUUGUAGUUAUGGAUGAACAUGAGUGAAAAAUUUUGGAAUGAGACUUUGAGUUCGUUUAAUAUAAACGACUUCCCAGUUGUUUUUUUUUUUAGUCCUAUGGAAAUGAUUGAUGGAGAAGUUUGUAAUAACUCAUGAAAUUGUAUGGAUGGAAUAUAUGGGAAGUGUUUGUGGAAUUUUCCACCGUGGAGAUCGUUAUAUGGUAUAAUGUAAUCAGGCAAUUGAUUGCUACUAUAAAAUGUACAUGCCUUAUUAUUUUGGGUCACUUCACCUUAAGAAAAGUUUUAGGUCGAAGUUAUAAUAGGCAAAAGUAUAUAUAUGGUAUUGUCUAGUGCAAGUGUUUUGAAUUUAAUGUAUUAUGUAUACUAAUAAUUGUUGGAACAUCAUCUUAACUUUCUUCAAAAAAAAAAAAAAAAAAAAAAAAGAAAAGAAGAAAAGAAAGAGAUCUUGAUUAUCUCAUUUUAAUCGAGAUAUAUUUUGACAACAUCUAGACAUCAUUAAAGUUUUGGUUGGUUUGUGUGAUGUAUAAUAAACCAGUUCGAACCAAUAAAUAAAUAAAUAAAAUAAAAAUUAUGUGAUUGAUAUUCUGAUUUUGGUCGUCGUUGGAACUGGUGAUUUUGGGUUUAUAUUAGAUAAGCUAGUCCUUGAUUGAGACUAUCUUUAAAUUGAUACAUAAACUGGUUGCAUAAUGGUGUAAAGUUUAUAUGAUUAAAUUAAGAUUAUGCAAUAGCUGUUUUGGUGAGAAAUCGGGAACCAAUUGGUUGAAUUAUUACUUUCUUAUUCAUCGUGUUAGAAUAUGUGAAAGUAAUAAAAUUUGUUGUUGACUGAAGUUUAACCUUAUAGCUGUUAAGUUUGGCCAGAUAAGUUGGAGCAAAUUAUAUUGAGUUUUCUUCAUUAGUUUGAUCACAACAUGGAUUAUACACAUUGGACUAGUUCGGUUACCAUAGUCAUGAGUUGUCAUUGUUACAUUCGUUUUCCUGAACAGAGUUGAUGAAGAGCACAUAUUUUCAUGACUAUGUGAUUAAUAAGGGUUAAUUUCUUUAGCCGAUAGAGUCGUGAUAUAUAAAUUUCUCUCAUUUGGUUGAUGGAACGUGAAUAGUGCUCUAGAACUGUGAGAACUUAAUUUAGGCAAUCUGCAGCGGUCUUUAGAAACAAUUUAAAAGAGAAUCAAUUAAAAGAAAGAUUUAAAAAAGGUUUUAAAGAUUACUAAGGGUAAUUUAGUUUAAUUGUGGAUAUGAAUGAAAUCAUAGAACGGGAUUUGAUUUCGUUCAGUGUGAACAGUAUUGUGGUUUUGGUUUUAAAUUUCUUCCAUUAGCUAGUAGUGGGAUUGGAAAUUCCAAUAAUUUUGGUUGAAAUUUUGGUAUUUGAAUUGACAAUUCUAAUGGUUUGGCUUGAAAAUUUUGAGAUUUACUUAGCUAUUACUGAUCAUGGCUUGAAAUUUAUGAUAUUUGUUUUGUCAAUAUUGAGUAUGGUAAAAAAAAAAAAAAACAAAACAAAAAAAAAAAAAAUAAUUGAUGUUGGUAUCGCCAAUGCUUGUGGUUAGAAAUUUUGAGAAAGAAUUGUGGUAAUGGAUGUGUGUAGCCAAUUAGAAUUAUGACUUAAUGGUUGACAUUAUUUUUGCCAAAAGUAAUGGUAAGUGGUAAUACCCAUAAUUAUGAUUUAAAAUUUAAAUUAGUGCGACUGGGAUUUCCGAUAUCUAUCUUGCCAAUGUGUGUGGCUAGAAGUUCUGAUAUUUUCCUUGCCCAAGAAUGUGAUUGUGAGAAUCACGAUGAAUUAUUCAUUGAGUUAUUUAUUUUCAUUUUGAAUAAAAUUGUAGACGGAGAUUUUAAUUGUAUUCACCAUCAAAGAAAUGAUGGAAAUAGUUUUAGUUCCUUCUCGUAACGCGACAGUUGAAAUCUCGGGGACCAGAUUUAUUUUAAUGGGGGGUGAAUGUAAUACCCUGAAAAUUUAAAUAUAUGAAUUAUAUAUUCAUAAUUAUGAAAUGUGGAGAAAAUCGGAAAUGAAUCGAUUUAUGGUUAUGAAGAAAUUGAUUUAGAACUUCUAAGUUUUGGUUUUCAGAAAUUAUUAAAAUUUAAGUAUUUUUAUGAUUGAGAUUUUAUCUUAGUUUUGAGAAUUUAUAUUAAGUUAUUUGAGUUUAGUUUUAAAUUAAACUAGUUACGAGGUUUAAAGUUUGGACCUUAAUUAUUUAAAAUACGUAGACCUUUUGAGGUCAAAAUUUAUAUUUUUGAAUAGAGCUCGACCUCACGAACGCUGAGGCGCAAACCGUUCAUGAAACGGAGUUAGAACGAAUAAGUUAUUAACUUUUAAAUCGGGGAUAAAUUGGUAAUUUUAAACAUGUAUAGAAGGCUCCAGAAAAUUGGGAGCCAUGUGACAUGCCACAUGUGUGGCUGAGAUGAAAGGAAGAAACAAAAAUGGACAGUUGAGAUUGAAAGAAAAGCAUAGAAAGGAGAGAAGGGGGAAGGAAUCAAGGGAGGAUGGCCAAUGGGGGUAGAGAGAAAGGAGAGGAAAGGAGAGAGGGGAGAAGGAGAGAAUCCUUCGACCCGGUUAUACUUACGACCCGACCCGGUCGGAUCUUUUGAUUUCGGCCACCUUAGACGACGGGAAGGGUGCCAAAUUGAUCCUUACUUCAAACCCAAUCAUUCCCUCUUCCUAGUACACCCCAAAAAUAACAUAUUUGGCCUUGAAAUUAGGAAACACGCACUGGUGGGUGCGGCAGCCAUUGCUCGGGAUUCCCCAAAGUUUGGAAUGUUUCCAUCCAAUUACUACCACCAAAAUACUCUCCUUAAACCCAAGAACAAAGCCCAUGAUUUGGUUAGGGCAUCAGAGUGGUUUUGGAGUCAAAUCAAGAACACCCAAAAAUAAGGGUUCCGACGGUUCGUGGACCAUUUGAGGUGUUUCCAGAGAAAAUUCGCUUUGGCCACAGGUAUCAAAGUUGUUCUACUCAUUAAGAUCUACUUGACUGUAAAAUUUGGAAAUUUUUGGAAAACGUUGAAUUUUUUGACAAGUUAGGGCGGCCGACCGCCACUCACGACAACGCCUGGCCAGUGUGCCGACUCUGCCAUUUUUCAUGCUAAUUUUGAUGUUCUAAAUCCAUAUUUUAUAUUCAUAUGGUGUGAUGAAAAUGUUUGGACUGAAUUUGUGAUUGUUGGUCACUAAAAUGAUAAAGUUAAUGAAUUAGGAAGUGUAUGUGAACUACGAGAGGCUUGAUCCCGCUCAAGGGUAUGUAGGCAGUCUAACAGUGUUAGAUGCAGCCUUAAAUAAUCGAGAAUUUUAUUUUAGUUGAGAAUUAUUCCUAGAUCGUAAAUUUAUUUAAGUCCAGUAAAGGUAGUAAAUUGAUAAAUAUAAUUGUUAUGCUUUGGUAAGAGAAUUAAGGUUAUAAAAGGUGUGGAAUUAAGGAACUUAAUUAAAGAGUCAUGAAUAUUGGCAGCUAAAUAAACGAGAGUUUAAAUUUUGGGCCUAUCACCGAUAAUUAUUGUCAAAAAUAAAUAAUUUCGGGGGCGGGGUUGUAACAUCCCACAUCGCCCAGGGGAGUGAUCCUUAAUUGUAUAUUCCCAUCCCUACCUUGCACGAGGCCUUUUGGGAGCUCACUGGCUUCGGGUUUCGUCAGAACUCCGAAGUUAAGCGAGAAAGAGGCCAAAGCACUCCCAAGAUAAUUGACCUAUUGGGAAGUUGCUCGUGAAUUCCCAAAAAUAAAACCGUGAGGGAAUGGUAAGCCCAAAGUGGACAAUAUCGUGCUACGGUGGUGGAACGGGCCCGAGAUGUGGUGGACCCGGGUCGGGAUAUGACCAAAUGAUAUCAGAGCCAAUCCCUUGCCGGAAGUGUGCUGACGAGGACGUCGGGCCCCUAAGGGGGUGGAUUGUAACAUCCCAUAUCGCCCAGCAGAGUGAUCCUUAAAUGUAUAUUCUCAUCCCUACCUAGCACGAGGCCUUUUGGGAGCUCACUGGCUUCGGGUUCCGUCGGAACUCCGAAGUUAAGCGAGAAAGAGGCCAGAGCAUUCCCAGGAUAGGUGACCCACUGGGAAGUUGGUCGUCAGUUCCCAAAAACAAAACCGUGAGGGAAUGGUUAGCCCAAAGCGAACAAUAUCGUGCUACGGUGGUGGAACGGGCUCGGGAUGUGGUGGACCCGGGCCGAGAUGUGAUAACUUCUCAUUUUCUCCUUCAAAUCCCAUACUCACCCUUCCUCUCCCUUUAAUAUUAUGUAGUCUCCGUGUAGUAACUCCAGCGAGAUCUCGAACCCUUUUACUAAGAUAAGCACCUUAGACUGUUAUAAAAUUUUGUUAGGUUAGAUAAGGGUGUCUUGAGACAUUUUGGAAUGGUGUGGAUGCAGAAUCCUUGGGGAAAAUACAUUUCUUAAAUUUUCUGGAGAGUGACCGUGAGUUUUAGGGAUUUUUCCGACCGAUCUCAAUGGCAACGCCACUCCAUCUUGGUAAGGCUCGAAUCCUUACUCCUUGAUCUUUAUUUUGGCUUUUGAAUGAAGGUUUUUGAUUGAGUUAUGACCCCAAAUCAGAACCAGGGAAGUUUUCCAACAAGAACACCCAAAAUUCGGUGUUCUUCUUAUUUUUCCGGCGGGCCACAAUAUGUUUUGGGCCAAUUGGUCCUAGCCCAAUGAGGAGCCCAUUGUUUUAGCUUUGUAAAUUAGAACCCAGAUUUUAAGACCCAAUUUCGUGGGCUGUGUAGUCAGCCCAAACCCAACCCCAUUUCGAAAAAAAUAAAAAUAAAGAAAGAAAUAAAUAAAUUUAAAUAAUCUGUUGGGCCAACCCAACCUUUAAGUUCAUUUCAAUUUGGACCUCAGCCAAAUAAUUCGUUUAGGCCUUAUGUUUAAAAUGAAUUAAGUCCAUCCAUUUAGCUGUAACUUAGGCUUCAUACUUAAAUUAGAUUAAGUCCAAAAAUUAUUCUAAAAAUAUGGGAAUGCUCGUGGGGUUGAGUAUGCCAUGAUGGUAUAUCAAAUACCCUAAUUGAGCAACAUAUGAAAAGUUAUUUACAGAGUUGAGUAUGUGUUUAAAAUUAACGUUAAAUUAAUUGUUUCACAUUUAGGUGAGACGUUUCCGGAGGAUGAGCGUAGCUAGGCGAGACUCGGGGGUUACGACCCUGCUACAUACUAGUGAGUGGGCUUUUGGUUUUCUAUAUAUAUACGUAUAUAUGUUUUCCAUUUUCCCAGAAAUGGUUUUAAAUGGAUUUACAUUUUUAAAUGCCAUGUCAAUUGCAUUACAUUUUAGUAUAUGCAUUAGUAAAUAUAUGCAUAUUAUUGCUUGACGCUGCGAAUGCCCAGGUAAGCUUCAGGUGAGUACAUAUUGAUGAUAGUGAUUGCAAUAUGUAUGGUUAUGUUUAGAUGCAUUUAGUGCUCAUUAUCCUGCACCUCGGUGUUAGUGCUCCGCCUGAGGCCAGGGCUUAACCUGCACAUGAUCGUUCACCUCCCGCACCACACGCUCACCUUAGAUCUAAGGCAGGUGCCAGCCUGUCGUACAGACCACAUUAGGUGGUUCUGACACAUAGGUGACUUGCGAUACUUCGCACAACCUUCACGUGAUCGUAGCACUUGAGCGUAUCUAUUUACACCUAGCCUGUCGUAUAGACCACAUUAGGUGGUUCUGACUCGUGUGCAAGAAUUAGUAGAUGAGCUAUAGGCUCAGCCUUACAGGUCACGUUAGGUGACUUUGGCUGACAUAUCAUUUUACAUUGAUUUAUUUCACCUGGCUUACUUAUUUCAUUACUGAGAUACUUGACAUGGCAUAUAGUUGGUUUUCACUACUCUCGAGCAUGAUUUCCACAUACGUAUGUAUUACUACUUUCUAGGAAAUUAUACGGGUUUUAUGGUGAGGGGUUAUUAUUUUUGGAAAGUGAAAUGGUUUUAAAAAGCUUUGUUUUUGGCUACUCACGUUUUCUGUUUUGCACCCCUCCAAGUUCUAGUUAGACGUUCAUGUUGGUGGCUUACAAGGACUCUGCAGUGGUUCUAACAAACUUCAAAUAAUGUAGGGAUUUGUUUCAUGUCUUGUAUAAUUAAUACUUAGCCUGCUAGACUGCACUUAGGUUACCUAUGCUUUCAAUACUUGCAUUACUACUUUAAACACCUGAUGCGAAAAUUAACUUCACACCUGAUGCGAAAAUUAACUUAACACACAAAUUAAACCCUCUUGUUGUCAAAUUGUAGUAUAAAUGCAAGUAGGGUUCAUUCUAAACCGGGGAUUAGGAGGGCUUGCUAAAACCUCUAAACUGACUUAAAAACAUAUAAACAAAGUUAAACACUAAACUAGACUCAAAGAACUUAAAACAAACUCAAAGGACUCAAAAUAAGCUAAAAACGCUCAAAUCUGCCUAAAAACACAAACUGGGCAGAUUUGGACUCUAACACACUUUUGGAAUACCUAAAAACACAAAUCAAAACAGAUUUUGACUAAUAAAACAAUUUAAAGUAAAGGGGGUUUUGGUUUUGACGAAUUUGAAAACAAAACAAGUAAAUUAAAGAACUAAUGAAAUCUGCACGAAUUUGAGUAAAUUGAAUGGAUGGAAGGCUAGAUAGGAGGUUCUUCUCCACACAUGACAUACUUGCACAUAAACCAAUUUUCAGUUGUUCUUUCGAUCAAUCAUGAAACUCAACACCCCAGGUUAAUUAAGUCCGCUUAAAUUAACCUUCAAGUUCUCCUUAAGUUAUUGAAUUGGAUGGGAAAUCGCAUACAACAAUUCAAGCAUUCUUCAAAAGUUCUUUAUGUGAACAACACAAUAAAGAUACAAUCAAAGAUCAUUAAGCAUUAUGAAAACUAUAAGUAUUGACGAGGUAUUCGUUACUAUGAUGAGCAUGAAACUCCUGCCAAGAAUUUAUUUAACGCGAUCGUUUAUAUGCGACCUCCACUACUUGUGAAUAUAAGUUUCUAACUAUUAGGUGAAACUCCCUUAUGCUCUAGCAUCAUAUUCAUGCAUGCAAACUAAGUGUGCACUCUUAAUAAACAUACACGAAUAAGUUAUCAAUCAAGCAGUUAAGCAAAUUGAAUUAACAACUUAUGAAAUCACAACUGAAGGUAAUCAAAUCAUAUUGCCAGCAUGAACAUGGUUUCGAAUUCCCCCCUAGCUAAGGGGGAUUUAGUUCCUCAUACUCACAAAGCAAAGAUAAACAAAUUUAGACAUUGAAAACAAAAGUAUGAAAACACCUAAAAACGCUCCAACAAUCCAACUUGAAUGGCAAGCAUGUCCAAAGGUCCUCCUUCUUCUCUUUGUUGCGGCACAAGGUGUGGUUUGAUGGAUGAGUGGUAAAUUAUGGUGGUGGAUGGAUAUAGGUGAGUUAUGGUGAAGGGUGGAUGGGUGGAUUGUGUUCUAUUUUUGGUUGGAUGAGUGCCACAGCAAGGGAAUGGAAUUGUAUGUGUUUGUGGGAUGUGGGAAUAUAUGGAUGAAUGUAAGGUCUUUUCUAAUCGAUCCUAGUUAUGGUGAAGGGUGGAUGUAUUUAUAGGCUAGGGAGAGGAGUGUAUGGAGUUGUAAUGAGUGGAUGUAGUGGUAGGUGAAUGUGUUGGGUGGAAUGAGUGGAUGUAGUGGUAGGUGAAUGGAUGUGUUGGGUGAAAUGAGUGGAUGUAGUGGUAGGUGAAUGGAUGUGUUGGGUGGAUGUAGUGGUAGGUGAAUGUGUUGGGUGAAAUGAGUGUGCUAAAAUGGUUAUUUAUAGGGAGAGGAUGAUGCACAAACUUCAAAUUUCGUCCAUUCCUUUUGCUCCAAGCAUAUGCUAUCCAUUCCAUGCCCAAAAAUGCUCCAAAAUGCACUUCUUUGCCACAUUAACCCUUUGGACCUACAAACACACGAAAAUAGCUUAAAAUACUAAAAUAACUACAAACUAACAACAUAAAUGCCAAGAAACAAGCUAACUAAGUCGCAUAAAUAUGCUUCUAUCAACACCUAUGCACACUUUUAUAGUUAUCUUAGUGUAAAUUAGUUAGUUUUGGUUUUUAAUUACUCACAUUUUCGUAUCACUUCCGCUCUGCGCUCAUGGCUACGUCACCCUCACGUGAUAGCCAGCUUGCCUCGAUUACGGUCGGCCUGCAUAUUUGGUGAGUAUUCUAAUCAUUUUGAUGUCUUAUGUCAGAACCAUGCCGCCUCGUAGAGGGCCAUAUACUUAUUCUGAGUCUAAUUUCCCAAAUAUUGCCUAACUUGGUGAAGCUAUUGCUAAUGUUAUUCAAUCAUCGCUACGUCCUCCCCAGAGAACCCCUUUGGAGAUUGUAUAUAACUUAAAGUUAAAUAAUUUUGUUGGUACUCAGGGAGCUGAGCGUUAGCUCAAUCAUGUUGAGAAAACCUAUCGAGUGAUACAGCGACAUAGGAAUUUCCCUGAGGAUAUAUAGGUCGAGACGACCACUUGGUUUUUGGGUGAGGAGGCUGCAUCCUGGUGGAGGCAGGAAUCUUUUCAGUUGUCAUCAGAAAAAGCUGCAGAUUGGGAGGUUUUUAAGCAUCUAUUCCAGAAGAGAUUUGUACCUCCAGAGUAUUUGGAUCGUAAGAAGGAAGAAUUCUCACAUUUGAAACAGGGGAAAAUGUUAGCUAAUGAGUACCAUAGAAAGUUUACUAAUUUGUCCUGAUAUUGUCCAGAGAUUGCUGAAAAUCCUGCUGAAAUGCUUGACGAUUUAAGUGGGGUACUCGAAAGAAAUGGCGUUCUAUGGCGACUAUAACUCCCUUUUCUACAUAUCAGGAGUUUUAUAAUUUCUACUUCGAGUUAAAGACUCUGAGAAUGCUCCAGAUAACAGUGAGGAGGAAGAAGAAAAAGAUAAUAGCCAGAAGAAAAAUAAUAAUAAAGAUAAAAGCCAAUCAUCACAAGGACCUUGCAAGACGCAGAGUUUUAAGAGAAGUGGUACUAAUUCUAGUUCUUCUAGUGGGGGCUCGAGUUCCACUGUGCCUCGGAGGGGCGGCCGUUCAUGAGGUUCCCUCUUUCAGAGGCAGAGAGAUUUUAGUGGUUUUGGUAGUCCAUUUGCCGUAGAUGUAAUAGUCGACAUUUUGGGGAAUGUAGACAGGGUAACAGAGGAUGUUUUGUUUGUGGUCAGACGGGACACCGGGCUAAUCAGUGCCCACAGAGCCAGCAGAAGCCCCAGCCACCUUCCUUGCCACCACCAGUUCCUAUUUAGCAAGUCUCACGGUCUAGUGGUUAUACCCUGAUGGGUAAUGGGGGUGCAUAUCAUUAUCAGAAAAUAUAGCUCCAUAUCAUGGAGGACCUUAUCAGUACCCACACGAUUCAUAUCACCAGGGUGGUUACGCUCUGCACCUAGGAGGUUACACGCCAUAUCCACCAUAUCCAGGUGGUGGAUCAUAGUGGUAUCCGGAAGGGUAGUCCUAGAACGUUGAGGCUGCUUCUAGCAGUGCUGGGUCAACUAGGCAGCCUAAUCAGCUUGGUCAAGGAUGUGGUUUGCAGAGACGUGGAAAUCAAGCUAACAGAGGUCAUGGAGGACGGCAACAGCCAUAAUUUCAUGUUCAUCACAUUACUCUGCAGGAUGCGUAGAGUAAUCCUGAUCUUAUUAUGGGUACGUUGAAUAUUCUUGGCCAUUUUGCUAGAGUAUUAAUUGAUUCUGGUGCCACACAGUCUGUUAUUUCUCAUACGUUUGCUCAAAAGAUGCAACCCUACCCUACACUUCUUGGUUAUGAAUUAGAAUUUUCUAUGCUUAGGGGUGAGACAUGUUAUGUUAGCUGGGCAUAUCAAGGAUGUCCUAUUCUGGUAGAGGACAUCGUUAUGCCAGCUAAUCUUGUUCCAUUAGAUAUUGUUGAUUUCGAUGUUAUUCUAGGCAUGGAUUGGUUACAUUACAAUCGUGCCAAAUUGGAUUGUUAUGAGAAGACAUUCACUUUCCAUCGGUCGGGCUUGCCUGUGGUUACCUUUGUGAGUGUUCGUAAUGGACUGAAACAUGACGCUAUUUCUGCCGUGAGGGCUAGAUGGCUAAUGAAAAGGUUGUCAGGUUUAUUUGGCUCACGUGGUAUUAAAUGAGGAUACUCCUAUCCGUGUGAAGGAUGUACAGGUAGUUAGGCACUUCCCUGAUGUUUUCCCUAACGAUUUACUUGGAUUACCACCAGAUAGAGAAAUAGAGUUCACUAUUGAUUUACUUCUAGGUACAUAUCCUAUUUCCUUAACUCCUUAUCAAAUGGCUCCUAUUGAGUUGAGGGAAUUGACCCAGUUGCAGGAAUUAGUUGAUAAGGGUUUCAUUUAGCCUGGUACUUUACCUUGGGGAGCUCCAGUUUUAUUUGUACGGAAGAAGGACGGGACUUUGAGGCUGUGUCUCGAUUAUCGACAGUUGAAUCAGGUAACGAUUAAAAACCAUUAUUGCCUCGUAUUGACGAUCUGUUUUACUAGCUUUGAGGUGCUUGCGUGUUCUCCAAGAUUGAUUUGAGAUCUGGGUAUUAUCAGUUGAAGAUCAGGUGUGAGGAUGUCUCGAAGACAGCGUUUCAGACUCGUUAUGGUCAUUAUGAGUUCCUUGUGAUGCCAUUUGGGUUAACGAAUGCUCCAAUAGCCUUUAUGGAUUUGAUGAAUCAGGUAUUUCACCCGUAUCUUGACAGGUUUGUUAUUGUUUUCAUUGAUGAUAUUUUGGUAUAUUCUAAAUCUAAGGCGGAGCAUACUAGACAUCUCACUCUGGUUUUGAAAAAAUUGAGGGAACACCAGCUAUAUGCUAAGUUUAGUAAAUGCCAAUUCUGGCUGAAUCAAGCGUCGUUCUUAAGACAUGUGAUAACAACUUAGGGUAUUCUGGUGGAACCACAGAAAGUAAUUGCACUUCAAAAUUAGGAGCAGCCGUCACCGAGGUACGGAGUUUUCUCUACUUAGCAGAUUAUUACCAACAAUUUGUGAAAGAUUUUUCAACCAUAGCUUUACCACUGACGAGGUUGACCAGAAAAGAUGUUAAAUUCGAGUGGGAUGAUGAUUAUGAGUGGAGUUUCCAGCAGCUAAAGUAUUGUCUCACUCAUACACUUGUUUUGGCACUUCCAGACGACAUUGGUAAUUUUGAGAUUUACAAUGAUGCUUUUUUGAAUGGUUUAGGCUGUGUGUUAAUGCAGCAUGGCAGGGUAAUCGCGUAUGCUUCGUGACAGUUGAAACCUCACGAGAUGAAUUACCCCACACAUGAUCUUGAGCUAGCAACUAAUAUUUUUGCCCUGAAGAUUUGGAGGCAUUAUUUAUAUGGAGAAAAGUGUAAGAUUUUCACAGAUCAUAAAAGCUUCAAGUACAUUUUCGCCCAGAAAGAUCUUAACCUUUGGCAACGAAGGUGGAUAGAAUUGCUCAAUGAUUAUGAUUGCACAAUUGAGUAUCACCUUGGUCGUGGAAACACAGUGGCAGACGCACUUAGUAGGAAAUCACAUGGAUGUAUCCCUCUUCUCACAAAAUUAGGAUCUACUGGAGUUGAUUUGGGAGUGGAGGAUCGGGAGGUAGCAUUACUCGCAAGUUUUUGAGUUAGACCAAUUUUGAUAGAUCGUGUACUCGAGGCUCAAAUGAAUGAUGAGGAAUCUCAAGAGUUUAUUCAGGCAGUUUCAGAAGGGAAAAAGAAAGAUCUUAGAAUUCGGGAAUUUGAUGGCAUGUUUAUGCAGGGAAGUCGGAUGUACGUGCGAAAUAUUGCAGAACUAAAGAAAGAUAUACUCGAUUAGGCACAUAUAUCGGCCUAUGCGAUGCAUCAUGGGAGUACCAAGAUGUAUCACACUAUUCGACCUUUCUAAUAUUGGCCUAGCAUGAAAAGAAAGAUUGCUGAAUAUAUGAGUCAAUGUGCAAUUUGUCAGCAAGUCAAAGCUGAGAGGAAGAAGCCUUUUGGAUUAAUGUAGCCACUUCCCGUUCCCCAAUGAAAAUGGGAAAAUAUUACCAUGGAUUUCGUAUAAAAGCUUCCUCGUACGUGAAAUGGCUACAAUGGCAUCUGGGUGAUAGUGGAUCGGCUUACCAAGUCAGCAUAUUUUAUACCAGUUCAAGAAAACUAUUCUUUAAGUCGAUUAGUUGAGCUAUUUAUAUCAGAGAUUGUUAAAUACCAUGGGGUUUCGGUUAAUAUUAUUUCUGAUCGGGAUCCUAGGUUUACUUCUAAGUUUUGGGUGGCUUUCAAGGAAGUUCUUGGUUUGAGAUUGCUUUAUAGUACGACGUAUCAUCCACAGACAGAUGGGCAAUCCGAGAGAACUAUCCAGACACUAGAAGUUGAGAUCUUCAGUACUACAGUUUGGCGACGCUUGGCAUAAGCGUUUGGAUUUGAUGAAGUUUGCCUACAAUAACAGCUACCAUUCUAGCAUCGAUAUGUCACCUUUCGAGGCACUUUAUGGUAAGUCAUGUCGUACUCCUCUAUGUUGGUCAGAAGUUGGUGAGUUGGUGUUAGUGGGCCCUGAGAUUGUUGAUGACACUACCCAAAAUAUUCAUGUAAUUAAAGCUAACUUGAAAGUGGCCCAAGAUCGACAUAAGGGUCUUGCCGAUAAAGAUGCCACUGAUAGAGUAUAUAACGUUGGAGAGUGGGUAUUUCUGAAGCUAUCUCCGUGGAAAGGCGUGUUGGAAAUGUGCCCUAAAACCAAUCAUAUGAUGAUACUUUACGGACAUUUCACAUGUUAAACUAAUCUAGUUUAAUAUCAAGGGCAAAGAUUAUUGUUUGAGCCGUCUCAUAUAAAUGUUAUAUGCUUAAACAAUAAGUCCAAGGAAUUUUUGAUUGGGAGAAUGCAAUCUAAAGAAGUUAGAUUCAUGAGACCAUUCUUUCGUAGACACAUCCUAAACGUUCCUGAUCAUAGGAUUGCCAAUUGGGCAUUGACAGUCCGUUAAGAUCAGUACGUGUUGUGUCUUCUCAGGGAGAGUGACUAGUCUCGAGUCAUUGGUGUGUAUGACAUCAAGACAAGUACGUAGGUGCUCAAUAGAGAAUGAGUUCACUGAACACGACCAACGAAGAGUUCUCAUAUUCAUGUCACAUGAGAACUCCUGGUUGGGAUAAUGCAAAGUAGUCCUUUGACCUGAGGCAUCAUAGUUGUCUUGUGGUUAAGUCCUUGAUCUUUGAUUAUGUCAAAAGUCACUCCAAAAGGAGGGUGUCCACGGCAUAGUUGGGGUUAAGCCACUUAGCUAUGGAGGCAAGUGAAUGUGCAACAAGGGAUCUCUAACCUUCAAACCGUUUGGGGGAGAAUACUCUAUGAUAUGAUUAAGAAUCUCUGGCCAGAGUAUGAAUGAGAUUUAGGAAAGUCGUUCCAAAUCACAUUCAAGGUAAUCAUAUAAGCACACGAAUCACAUUGGAUAGUAGACAUGACCAAACAAUGUGGUCAAGAGUAUUGUAUUAGAGAAAGACCGUAUUGCAUUUGUAAUCCUAAACUGAGUAGGUUCUCUACCUCUUCUGAUUAGCUUGGGUAACCAUGAUAUGGUGCUAGGUGUCACUCUUGGUUUGUGGAAGCCCUAAACGUGUAUAAACACUAAAGGGAGAAUUGAAAGUAAGUUUCAAUUCACAAUCGAUUUGAAAGAGUUUUAAUCGCCCACUGCCUCGCUAAAAGGAACCUAAUGGAUCGUACACCGUGUAAGGUGGAGAUUGAAGAAACAAUGGAGAUGAGUAAGAAUAAUUAAAUGGUUUAAUUAUUUAUGGUACGGAUUAAUUAAUAUGUUAAUUAAUCAAACGAAUAAGUUCGUUAAAGACCUCGGGAUAGUUUUGGACCUUAAGGCCCAAUGGGCUUCGAACGUCAAGCCCAUUGACUUAAGUUGUAUGACAAUUUAAUAAAUAAAGAUUCACAAAGGCCCAAAAGCCCAAAUCCCUUAUGUGGCCGGCCAUGUGUGUGUUGAAUUAGGGUUUUUGGUUCUUUAGGUCAUUUAAAGAAGUGACUAUAUAAAGAACUUUAUAGCCUAAAAUUUAUUAAGGGUUUCUUUUAGGAAAUUGGAGAGAACACAAAGCUCUCCUUUCUCUCUAAAGAGGCCGGCCCCCUUGGAGGGAUUAGCUAGCAAUCCCACUCCUCCAAGGCCACUCAUUUCUUCUCCAAUCUAACCUUGGUGUAGACACUUAGAGGUUCUCAAUUUUGGGAACUUGGAGAACCAUAUUCUUCCAUCCAAAUCCAUGGAUCUAAGAAGCAAGGAAUGAAGGCCCUCUCUUUGGGUGAUUAGCCUUUGCUUAUGCAAAGAGGAAUCUACAAAGAUAUAAAUUUCAACUCACUUUGUUUUGAGUUGAGUCUUGGUUCACCAAUCUACUAGGCUUUGAAUUUCAUGGGUAAUGUUUUGUUUUUGAGUGCAUGCAAGCAUGAUUCCGCCUUUAAUUGUUAAUUGCAUGCUUAUAGAUGUUGCUCAAAUGAACAUGUUUUCUCAAAAUCAUUCUUCAAGGCGUAGUACGGUUCGGUAAGAAAGGUAAGUUAAGUUCUCGCUACCGUAAUAGAUCACCAAACGAAUCGGUGAAGUUUCCUACAAACUUAAGUUACCCCCAGAGCUAUCAAAGGUGCACGGCAUUUUUCAUGUCUCAAUGCUUUAUCAUUAUGUCUCUUACCCAUCACAUGUGAUACCUCCUCAACCACUAGAAAUUAAUCCAGACUUGACAUAUGACGAGGAGCCAGUGACGAUUUUAGAUUGGAAUGAUGAGGUUCUUAGGAACAAAACUAUGCGCAUGGUGAAAGUUUUGUGGAGGAACCAUUCAGUGGAGGAAGCCACUUAGGAGAUGGAGGAUGGUAUGCAAGAUUUAUAUCCACACCUAUUUUAUGGAUAUUAAUAUCUAUUAUGCUAGUAUACAGAAAUUUCGGGGACGAAAUUUUCUUAAGGGGGUAAGUUGUGACUGACUUGUCUCGAAUAAAUAUAUAUUUUCUCCCCGUAUGUGUGAAAAUGACGAUUAUGCCCUUGUUGGCUUGGUGACGUGGAUGUACGUACAUAGUUUUAAAUUAUUUUCUCGCUCACGAAAUUAAAUGGUGCUCGACGUCAUGGGCACAUCGACCUAAAUUAAGAACGAGAAUGGGCAAAAUUCUAUUUUUGGAUUGGUUUAUUUCUUCUUUGGACCUAUUUUUUUAGGGCUUAAACUCUAUGACCCAAUCAAGGGCCUUAUUAUUUUUCCCUUCCUACCCGUGCCUCCCCUCACUCCAGAAACUUCCUUUCUCUCCCUCACACUCUCCCGCACUUCUCCCUCUCUCGGUGCUCUCGUCCCCGACACAACACACACGCACAUACAUACUUGCACACACUGCAACUAUCAAGACUUCUCCUUUUCUCCCUCAUAUCCCAUACUCACCCCUCCUCACCCUUUAAUAUUUUGUAGUCUCCGUGUGGUAACUCCGGCGAGAUCUCUAAGCACCUUAGACUGUUAUAAAAUUGUGUUAGGUUAGAUAAGGGUGUCUUAAGACAUUUUGGAAUGGUGUGGAUGCAGAAUCCUUGGGGAAAAUACAUUUCUUAAAUUUUCCGGUGAGUGAUCAUGAGUUUUAAGGAUUUUCCGACCGAUCGCGACGGCAACGCCACUCCACCUUGGUAAGGCUGAAAUCCUUACUCCUUGGUCUUCAUUUUGGCUUUUGAAUGAAGGUUUUUGUUUGAGUUAUGACCCCAAAUCAGAACCGAGGAAGUUUUCCGACAAGAACACCCAAAAUCCGGUGUUCUUCUUCAUAUAUUUUCCGGCGGGCCACAAUAUGUUUUGGGCCAAUUCGUCCUAGCCCAAUGAAGAGCCCAUUGUUUUAGCUUUGUAAAUUAGAACCCAAAUUUUAAGUCCCAAUUUAGUGGGCUGUGUGGUCAGCCCAAACCCAAGCCCAUUUCGAAAAAGAUAAAAAAAAAAAAAAAAAUAUAAAUAAUCUGUUAGGCCAACCCAACCUUUAAGUGCCUUUCAAUUUGGACCUAAGCCAUUUAAUUGGUUUAGGCCUUAUGUUUAAAAUGAAUUAAGUCCAUUUAGUUGUAAUUUAGGCUUCAUACUUAAAUUAGAUUAAGUCCAAAAAUUAAUCUAAAAAUAUGGGAAUGCUCGUGGUGUUGAGUAGGCCACAAUGGUAUAUUCAAAUACCACAAUUGAGCAACAUAUGAGAAGUUAUUUAAAAAGUUGAGUAUGUGUUUAAAAUUAAUGUUAAAUUAGUUGUUUCACAUUUAGGUGAGACGUUUCCAGAGGAUGAGCGUAGCCACCCUAGACUUGGGGGUUACGAUCCUGCUACAUACUAGUGAGUGGGCUUUUGGUUUUCUAUAUAUAUAUGUAUAUAUGCUUUCCAUUUUCCUAGAAAUGGUUUUAAAUGGAUUUAUGUUUUUAAAUGCCAUGUCAAUUGCAUUACAUUUUAGUAUAUGCAUUAGUAUAGAUAUGUAUAUUAUUGCAUGACGCUGCGGAAGCCCAGGUAAGCUUCAGGUGAGUACAUAUUGAUGAUAGUGAUUGCAGUAUGUAUGGUUAUGUUUAGAUGCAUUUAGUGCUCAUUAUCCUGUACCCUGAUGUUAGUGCUCCGCCCGAGGCUAAAGCCUAGCCUUCAUGUGAUCGUUCACCUCCCGCACCACACGCUCACCUUGCAUUUAAGGCAAGUGCCAGCCUGUCGUAUAAACCACAUUAGGUGGUUCUAAAUCGUAGGUGACUUGCGAUACUUCGCAUAGCCUUCACGCGAUCGUAGCACUUGAGCAUAUCUAUUUACACCCAGCCUGUCGUACAGACCACAUUAGGUGAUUCUGACUUGUGUGAGGAAUUGGUAGAUGUGCUAUAGGCUCAACCGUACAAGUCACGUUAGGUGACUCUGACUGACAUAUAAUUUUACAUUGAUUUAUUUCACAUGGCUGACUUAUUUCAUUGUUGAGAUACUUGACAUGGCAUAUAGUUGGUUUUCACUACUCUCAAGCAUGAUUUCUACAUACAUAUAUAUUACUACUUUCUGGGAAAUUAUAUGGGUUUUAUGAUGAGGUGUUAUUAUUUUUGGAAAGAGAAAUGGUUUUAAAAAGCUUUAUUUUUUCCCACUCACGUUUUCUGUUUUGCGCCUCUCCAGGUUCUAGUUAGACGUUCGUGUUGGUGGAUUAUGAGGACUCUACGGCGGUUCUGACAGACUUCAAAUAAUGUAGGGAUUUCUUUCAUGUCUUGUAUAAUUAAUACUUAGCUUGCUGGAUUGCACUUAGGUUACCUACGCUCUGAAUACUUGCAUUACUACUUUAAACACCUAUUCACACUUUUAUAGUUAUCUUAGUGUAAAUUAGUUAGUUUUGGUUUUUAAUUACUCACAUUUUCGUAUCACUUCCGCUAUGCGCUCAUGGCUACGCCACCCUCACGUGAUAGCCAACAUGCUUCCAUUCCGGUUAGGGUGUGCCAGUAGAGCAUCGUAGAAAAUUUAACUCACUCACUUUUGUCCUUGUACAAACUAAAGAACAGGACUUGGCUAUUGAAGAUUCAGCAGCAUCCCUUGCUGAUAACCAAUCACGGCUGGACACGUGUUCAAGUUAUAAAUUUUUUAAUCACAACUUUGAUACAUAUUCAACCGUGAUUGGUCACCAGAGAGUGUUGCUGGUUCUUUGAGUAGCCAAGUUCUAUCCCAAACUAAAUAUAGUCCCGCAGAGGAAAAUUCCAAAGGUUCUUACCAGAAGAAUCCUUCGGUGACGUCACAUGGUGUAGGGCAUGUCACAUUUUCAGAUUUUCUGCCCUUAUUGGCUUCUGCAGCUGACCCCUGGUGGAGCAAUUGUCACAGUCAAAACUGACCAUUGUUCUUGAGGCGUAUAUACCGGAUUGUAAUAGGAUCCUAGGAUGGGGACAUAUGUGGGUGCAUGUCAUCCCAACCUGAUGUAUAUUAAUUAUUUUUUUUCACCUGCAGGACUUUUCUAAUCCCAUAUAUUUGAAAUCUUAUUCACGUUGCUGUCAUAUUUAUAUCAAUACUACAAUAUUGUAUAUAAACUUACGCAUGUCUUGUAUUAUUGCACAAAAUGUCACAACGACGAUAUACUUAUGCUAUAAAAAUUAUUCUCCUGGUUUUGACAUUGCUAUUUCCUAAACAAUUAGUGAUAAUUUACACAAUAAAAAAGACAAAAAAAUUGAGAAAAAAAUUCAUUUCUGUAAUUUUAUAUAAAGAAGAUUUAAUAAGAUGAAAUUAAUUAUCGCAUAUGCAUACAUCUCUAUUUCCUCUUGUCAUGUUUUUCAAACUAGUUAGGUGCAACUACAAUAACAAAAAAAAGGUUGAAUUGUGGGUACAAAAAAAAAAGAUGAAUUUUUUUUUUUAACAAAAGAAAACCAAACGGUGAUAUUUAAAGUGUAUCAAUGUACUCUAAAUGAUAUUACAUACAUAUAUAUAUACUAAGUUACUGAUACGUUUAUAUUAUCAACUUUAAUAUAUAAAAAGCUAACAACAAGUUAUGUGUAACCCUAAACCCUAUUGGUACGUUUCAAGCCAAUAAUUGUACAUUUCAAUACAGCUUGGGAAAUUGCAAUUUAGUAAGCAUACAUUUUAGUUAGGUAUAUGAAUAAGUUUUAAUUUAGCAUAGGUACGUUUUAAUUUGAGAAUAAGUUGUGUUGGUAAAAGAAUGAUGGUACAUUUCAAUUAAAUCAUACUCGAAUUUCUAGAGACAAAAAUAAAGAAUGAGACUUAACCAUUAACGACAAUAUUUACAGUAAUGAAGAACAAAGUAUGACACGACCAAUUAGCUUUAAUUUUAAUUUUCUCUUUUCUUAACGGUUCUUAAAGGAUUAGGUCAUUUUACCUAUUAAUUUUAACGGUAAAAUGAUACGACCUGUUAAGAUAAUGGGUAUGACUCGUUAAGAUAACAAGUAUUAUACAAAAUGACACAAACACGACAAACAUGACUCAUUCGCCAUACCUAUUUACGAUCCAUGACAUCAGCGAGCAGACAAAGUCAACAACAUGUUGACUCAUGACAUGGGAGCCAUCAUUGACACUAAGUUCCCUAUGGAACACUAGUAGAAAAAAUAGCUUGUGUCUCAAUAUUUUGCGCAAAGAAGAAGAUUUCAUCACAUAAGUGUAACUUACGCAACAAAAACACACGACACACUUAGGUCGUGCGAACAAUUUCUUCGCGCAAGAGGACUUCACACAACGAUUACUAGUGUUGCUGAAAAGGCAGGUAAAUAAAAUAUGGGGCCAAAAGGCAGGUAAAUAAAAUAUGGGGCCAAAAGUUUGCGCGACGAGUUUUUCUACAUAUUCAUCGCACAAAGUGUUGCUGAAAACGGUCAGCUGCGCAUUAAACCUCUCAUUUAUAGUGCGCAUAUAUAACACACUUUGCACGACUAAGGAUUUGUCGCGCAAAGUGUGUUGGGUUUACAUUGUUUCGAAACCCUAUUUUGCAAAGGUUUUGUUUCAAACGAUGGCUGAUUCAGUUUCAGAUUCAACGAAAAGUUGGGAAGGAGAAGGCUCUCGUGAAGUGAAAGGUAAAAAAAAUUAAUUGUUUUACAUUUGAUAUGGUUGAAAUUAUUGUUUUAAUAGGCUAUUAUAAUUAGAUCUUUGUGGUAGGAAACAAACUGAGGAAAGUUGUGUUGACAAUAGAGAGGUACCGACGUAAGUGUUUGCCCUCGUUUGAUGACAAAAGUUCGGCUUAAGAGUUUAUCGAACUUAUGUUCGAUAUAGGGGGAUUGGUGCUGAAGCAGUGUUCUACUGAGUUUAAGUCUUGGAAAAUGGUGCUUGUGGACUUGAAGAACUCCAUGGUGCAGGAGUUAUCGGUAAGUUUGUAUUAAAGAAUGUGUAAUUGUUUUUGUUUAAAAGUGAUAUUUUUGCGAUAACUAAUUUAAUUUUAUUGCCAUUAUAGGUUGUUUGGGAUGUUGAUGAAACUGAUGAGAAAUAGCGGAAGUAUGUGGAUGACCUUUUCAAGAUGCAGUUCCGGCAAUGGAAGUUCGAUGUACAACGGGCUGCUAUAGCUACCGAUGCCCUUGCUAAUGACCCAGAGGAAGAGUGAACUUAAUUUGUUUUGUUUUUAAUCUUUUUUGUUUAUGAAAUAAGAUUUAUUUGAACGUUAUGUUGGACUUUAUUUUUAAAAUUUAUGUUACAUGGACGGCUUAAAGUUUACAUUAGUUAUAAUAUAUAUUUUUGUUAAUAAAUUAUUUUUAAUAAAUAUAUUGGUAAUAUAUAAUUUGGUUUGAUAAUUUUAAUUCGAUAACAACAAUUUACAUUAGAUAGAAAGAAAACGGAAAAAAAAUAAUGCAACUUGCAUGAUGAAUAUAGUGUUCAUCAUGCAAAUAGUUUACAUUAUUAAAUUAUAAAGAAAACGAAAAAGAGAAUUUUGCAAAAAAAAAAAAAAAGAAAAAAAAAAGGUCACUUGUGCAACGAAGUUAUAUUUCGCCGCACAAAGUGAUUCUCCCAAAAGUAAUUAUAACGUGACUUUUGUUGCAGAGGUAGAAAAUUGUUGAAAAACUACAUAUUUUGCCUCUACACCUUCCUUCCCUUCGUUUUUCUUCAAUUCAGGAUCCAUCGUUCCUAUUUUCUCUCAAUUUCUUCCUCUAAUACUUUGUCCAUCUAAAUCUCAAUCUUCUCUAGGUUGAUGGAGCUAUUUUGGUGUGUUUGGUAACGGUUUUUGUUAUGUUCAUUUAAAAGUAUCAAUGUCAAUACAUUCUAACACUGUAAAAUUCGUUGUGUAUAGGGAUAUUGUGUGUGACUAGCACUCGGUGGAUAACGAUUUGGAAGGUAUUUUCUUCAUUUUAUUUAAAAAAUAUAUAAAUUAGUUAAAUUAUAUUGAAAUUAUGUUGUUAUGUUUAUAUUAAGUUGUUAAAUUAUAUUUAUUACAAAAAAAUUUAUGUUAUAAUUAUGUACAAUGUUGAGUUGUAUAUGUACAAAUUUGUGUUGUGAUGUAAGAAGUUAAUUGUAAUUAACUUCGUACUUUUUUUUUUUUUUUUUGUAGUAAAACUUAGUUUCCCGUUUGAGGAUUAGUUGGAUGUAGCGCAUGGAUGCGAAAGCAUGACUACGGUCCAAUUGAUUCUUGAAUUGUCCCAUUAUUUGGACAGUUUGGGAAUGCAAAGUUAUGACGCAUAGUUUAUGGUUAAAGGAUUAGGUUUUCGGUCAUGGGGAUUUCAAUGUCAUCUCUGUACGUUCUUCGGGUGGCACAUAGGUAUUUCAUAUCUAUGUCAUGCACUUGAAAAACUGUACAGAGAUGUUGCCAAAAUUUCUCUACGUCGAAAUCUAAUCUAAAGUAGCCAUAAAUUACGUGACAUAAUUUUGCAUUCCCGAAUGGGAUAGGGCCCUUACUGGAGGCAUAAGGUGACAAGAUCAUGUUGAAGUUGUUAUGAUUGUUGUACUGUUAUUGUGGUUGCAGGAAUGAUGGACAGAACGUGGAUGCAAAACCUGAAUAGAUGUGCCAACGAAUACUUGAAUGGAAUCGAGAAUUUUAUUGACUUUGCACUUACAUACAACCCAGGUGCAACUAGAAUCCGAUGUCCUUGUAGGAGGUGUAAUAACACGUUAAGGGAAACUAUUGAAAAUGUUUGAAUUCAUUUAGUAAGAAAUGGAAUGGUAGAGACCUAUGGUAUUGGAACCAUCGCGAGGAACAAUUAGACAAUACUUCGUCUUCAAACGUGACAAGAGUAGGCAAUGUUUAACCUAAUAUGGAUUUGUUUGGACCCGAUUUUACAUCAUCGGCUCGAGCAAUCGAGGUCAUUGGAUAAGUAGAGUUUUGAACCAUUGGAUGACCAAGUGGUUGAGAUGAUUUUCAAUUAUUAUUGAGGAAUAAUAUUGUGGUUUUAAUCAUAAUAUUAUCUCUUGAUAUAUAUUAGCUUAUCUAAGCCUAAUAUUAGCUAUAUCCAGCUGAUUGUUUAAAGAUAAAUGAUGAGGCAGAUCAUAUUUCCAACUUCGAUGUACAGUUCAAACGAGUUUGGGAUGUUUGGUACGAUUCUCACUGCAAUACAAUGGAUUAAUUUAAAAUCAAUGCAUGUGUUGGAUAAUGGUGAAAUGGUGCAAUGAUGGUGAUCAAGAUCAGCAACAAUUUGUGAUAAUGGCAGAGGAUGAUUUGAUUUACAAAUGGUUUGCAUGGAUGAGAUGGCAUGAAAAAAUGAGCUUUUUAUGGUCUCCACGUGGAAGUUUAAUGAAGAUUAUUUGGAAUGGUAUUUCCAAAUGCAUGCACUUGGACGUGAAUAUGGGUCUAAACAUUGCAGGAUUAUUUAGAAUGCUAUAGGAAAAGUUCCAUGUGCUUGUAAAUUGAUCUGAUUGCAUGAUUAUCAUAAGUGGACGACAGUUAUCAAAGUGUGGCUUUGCUCAUUUGGAAUAAUAUUAAUAGGAAUAUUAUUUAUUUCGAUUGGAUACUCCAAGUCACGAAUAACAACUUCAUAGUGUGUUCAUCAAGGCAUGUCCCAAUUAAUACAGAGGUCGAGGGACAUGGAAAAGCCCCCUCCAAUUCAACACACAAACUGCCCUGCGCAAACUCUCGCUCUACACGAAACCUCUCAACAACCUUGAGAUUUUUAUUUUCUUUUUCGCCGACACAUCUUCAGUUUAGAUGCCCUGUGAAGGCAACCGGCGAACAUCUUCAGUUUGGAUAAACAACACUGUCACCGUAGAAUCAGUAGACCUCGAAGCACCUUCAAUUUAGAUAAACAGCAAUGCGUUAAGGCCGACUGGUUAUCUAUCCAAGUCUCGGUCGAGAAGGGUUUUCGAAUCCUUAUUGGCAGAGGUCAUCUCACGAGCCUUCUCGGCAAAACAUCCCUACGUCAAGGCCGACUAGUUAGACUCAGCGCCUUGAACGCUGAGUUAUUUUAUGAUUGGAUAUUCACAAGUUGGAUUUAGAGUUCGGCAUUCUGACGGCCGAACCACAUUUACGAUUAAGACGUACAUCUGCUUUGAAUACUUGUGUCCAUAUAGUCUGGUGUUGAUUCGGCGUGCUUAUACUCUUACUAAUAUAAUCACUGUGAUCGAAUCCGAAGCCGACGAUUUGUGAACUUCGUAGAACUAGCAACCUUAUCUUCAGGCUCUAGAACCCAAAGGCCGAGAUGUGUUCCUUCCUUGGCCGCAAUCGCGAGAUUCAAAGCGCACCCAAUGCAACAUCAACAAAUUUUACUCACCCGUCGAGUUGGCACACCUCGCACACAACCAAAAGAUGUAGUUAGCUCAUUAAUUACUCAGUUUGCGUGCCAUGUAGGUUUGGUAGUUUUUAGGGUCAACAUUUUGGCACGCCCGAUGGGACCAAGUGCUAAAACUAUGAAGUUCAAAUGAUAUAUCAAGAUCACAAUCAUGAUGAGAUUCGGCGCCUAUUCAAGGAAAUUGUCGAGCAACAAAAACUCAUUGACCGGAUCCUUGAAGCAAAUGAAGAAAGGCAAAAAUCUUUCUCUCAAAUGAUGCAGGUGAAGGUUCAUCACAACUUACAAGAUCAAUGGUUAAAUGAAGAUAGAGCUCGAUUUUAUGAGUGGAUCGAUAAAAAAAAACGCCAUUUGGGUACAAAUCAAUUCCAUUUGAAGAAUGGUUGGAUCAAAAGGCCAGGGGGCAAUUUUUCGCUCCGGCCACAACCAACAUUCGACCUAAGAAGAUUGUUGAGACGGCCGAAGAAGAACCUAGGCCACUUGUUUUUUCAGUCGAGACUGAAAUUGUGGUAGGCCUAGAAGCAAAAGUUCAAGUUUCUAAGCUACAAAUCGACUUAGAAAAUGAUUCCUCAGAAGAGUGUUCCAAUGAUGAACAAGGCCGUUACACAACUUCGGACGAAAAAGCCAUAUCAAUUGAUAUGGUAAUUGGAGACAUAGUCUUAGAUGUCGAAACUACAUUGAUCAACAUGAUUAUUGGCGAUAAAGCCGAUAUGGAGAAAUCCCGUUCGGCUAAGUUGUUUGAGUUAAAAGUCGAAAUUGACAAAAUUAUUAUGCCCAGGGGGCUUCAUAAUUGUUCAACAUAUUUGGCGGCCGAAAAUGAAAAAUAUUGUGUCCAGUAAAAAAUAUUUGGAGAAAAUUCUUUAUUCGGCCUAGAGCGAAAUCAAUUUGAAAAUUUUGUUAUUACAAGAUCUCAACUUGGAAUAAAGCAUCAUUGGCCUCCUCCUGAUUAUGGUUCGGCUAUUUUCAUUUUCUUUUGCUAAAAAUUAUUCGGCCUUUCAGGCCAAUACAUAAGAAUAACGGGGUGGACACUGUAUGCUCAACGAUUAGGUGAUUAAAAUUUAGUCUUGCCAAGACUACAUAUUGCCGAGACUACAUAUUAUAUAGAGUUUUGGUGUUGAACAGAUACCAUGCAGCGUUUGUCGGUUUGUGUGGCGGUGUCGACGAAAACAAAUUAUUUUCUUAAUCAUUCGGUCGUGUAGGCUGAUGCUUAAGAACAUAAAAGGGGGCCGAGAAACAUCUCAUGGGGCACACUUAGAGUCCUCGAGGCUUUGACUUCAUUUGGUUUUUCUCAGCCUUCAACCCUCGUUGGUUUUCCUCAGCCCAAAUUUUCUCGGUGUCAUUUGCAAGCUCUAUCCUUCAAGAUGGUCGAAAUAAUUACAAGGCUAUUUAUUAAAGCUGCCGAGCCUUGUAUAUAUUUAUGGCAGCCAAGGAAGACCAUAGCGUUGGCAACACAGAGAUGUUAUUGCCGAGGAACAAAGUUUCUUUUUCGGCGAUACGGGAUUUUGCUAGCUACAAAAUAAUUAAUUUCCUUGACCAUUCGGCUUGCUAGCUGAAGUUCAAGGAAACUGGGGGGCAAUGUUUGGACCCGAUUUUACAUCAUCAGCCCAAGCAAUCGAGGCCGUUGGAUAAGUAGAGUUUUGAACCAUUAGAUGACAAAGUGGUUGAGAUGAUUUUCAAUUAUUAUUGAGGAAUAAUAUUGUGGUUUUAAUCAUAAUAUUAUCUCUUGAUAUAUAUUAGCUUAUCUAAGCCUAAUAUUAGCUAUAUCCAGUUGAUUGUUUAAAGAUAAGUGAUGAGGCAAAUCAUAUUUCCAACUUGGAAGUACAGUUCAAACAAGUUUGGGAUGUUUGGUACAAUUCUCGCUGCAAUACAAUGGAUUAAUUUAAAAUCAAUGCAUGUAAUGGAUAAUGGUAAAAUGGCGCAAUGAUGGUGAUCAGGAUCAACAACAAUUUGUGAUAAUGGCAAGGGAGGAUUUGAUUUGCAAAUGGUUUGCAUGGAUGAGAAGGCAUGAAAAAAUGAGCUUUUUAUGGUCUCCACGUGGAAAUUUAAUGAACAUUAUCUGGAAUGGUAAUUCCAAAUGCAUGCACUUGGACGUGAAUAUGGGUCUAAACAUUGCACGGUUAUUUAGAAUUCUAUGGCAAGAGUUCCAUGCGCUUGUAAAUUGAUCUGAUUGCAUGGUUAUCAUAAGUGGACGACAGUUAUCAGAGUGUGGCUUUGCUCAUUUGGAAUAAUAUUCAUAGGAAUAUUAUUUAUUUCGAUUGGAUACUCCAAGUCACAUCAACAACUUCAUAGUGUGUUCAUCAAGGCACGUCCCUAUUAAUACAGAGGUCAUGGACAUGGAAAAGCCCCCUCCAAUUCAACACACAAACUGCCCUGCGCAAACUCUCGCUCUACACGAAACCUCUCAACAACCUUGAGAUUUUUAUUUUCUUUUUCGCCGACACAUCUUUAGUUUAGAUGCCCUGUAAAGGCAACCGGCGAACAUCUUCAGUUUGGAUAAACAACACUGUCACCGUAGAAUCAGUAGACCGCGAAGCACCUUCAAUUUAGAUAAACAGCACUGCGUCAAGGCUGACUGGUUAUCUAUCCAAGUCUCGGUCGAGAAGGGUUUUCGAAUCCUUAUUGGCAAAGGUCAUCUCACAAGCCUUCUCGGCAAAGUGAGGUGUUACGAAUCGCUAGACUCAGCGCAUUGAAUGUCGAGUUAUUUUAUGAUUGGAUAUUCACAAGUUGGAUUUAAAGUUCGGCAUUCUGACGGCCGAACCAUAUUUACGAUUAAGACGUACAUUUGUUUUGAAUACUUAUGUCCAUAUAGUCUAGUGUCGAUUUGGCGUACUUAUACUCUUAUGAAUAUAAUCACUGUGGCAGAAUCCGACGCCGACUAUUUGUGAACUUUGUAGACCUAGCAGCCUUGUCUUUAGGCUUUAGAAUCCGAAGGCUGAGACGUGUUCCUUCCUCGACCGCAAUCGCAAGAUUCAGAAGUCAUCAGCGCACCCAACGCAAGAUCAACAAAUUUUACGUAUCGGUCGAGCUCGGCCAUCGAGUUGGCAAGCUUCGUACAUAACCGAAGGAUGUAGUUAGCUCAUUAAUUACUCGGCCUGCACACCACGUAGGUUUGGUAGUUUUUAAGGUCAAUAAGAUCCUAAAGAACAAGUCAUGGAAAUCUUAAAUGACGUUUUUCCAUUUGCGUUAACAAAUACCAAUCAGGAAGUGGAUGAUGACAUGCCUACACCAAUGGAUAGUGGAGAAUUAGAACAUUAUGAAAAACUAUUAAAAAAUGGCAACCAAGAGUUAUGCGCGGGGUGUGAGGGAUUUUCGGUUCUCACAGCUAUUGUGGAACUAAUGCACGGGAAAAUAAAGUAUUGUAUGUCGAACUAGUUUUUUGAUUACUUUUUGGGGGUUUUCAAGAGUACCAAAGGACAAUUGUUUGCUGAAAGACCAUAGAAACGCUAAAAAGGUGUUGAAUGGUCUCGGGUUAGGUUAUGAAAAAAUUUACGCUUGCAAAAACAAUUGUGUAUUGUUCUAUAAGGAGAAUAAAGCAUUGGAUAAAUGUUAUGUAUGCAAUGAGUCGAGGUUCAAAAUGACAUAUCAUAAUAGAUCGACGAAGAUCCCACAAAAAGUCAUGCGUUAUUUGCCUUUGAAGCCUAGGUUGUAGCGGUUGUAUAUGUUAACGCAUACUGCCAUCGGCAUGAAAUGGCAUAAGGAAAAGCGGGUAGAUAAUGAUGUCCUAAGGCAUGCUGCAGAUAGGGAGGCAUGGAAAAAGUUUGAUCAAACGUUCUUGAUUUUGAUGUUGAUCCUCGGAACGUUAGAUUGGGACUUGCCACUAACGGAUUCAAUAUGUUCGAGGUUCUAAGCCAACACCACAACACUUGGCCUAUUUUCGUAUUUCCGUAUAAUUUGCCACCAUGGAAAUGUAUGAAAAAAGAAUACAUGAUGAUGACUUUAUUGAUAACUGAGGAUCCUGGUAGCUAAAGGAUUUAUGGACACACAGUGUGCCCACAUACAAUAAGUGUGCUAACAAGAUGUUCACUUUGCAGGCAGUGGUGAUGUGGACUGUGAACGAUUUUCCCGCAUAUGAAAUGUUUUCCGGGUGGAGCACUAGGGGUUAUAUGGCAUGCCCUGUAUGCAAGGAAGACUUAACAUCUAGUUGGCACGCCGGAAAAGUUUGUUACUUUGGUCAUUGGAGAUGGUUGCCAUGGGACCACGAGUGGCAAGAAUAGGAUAAAGAGUUUGACGGGAAAAAAAGAGCCUCACCUUGGACCUAGAGAAUGGUCUGGUGGUCCGAUUUUGGAACAACUUAACCGUUUGGAUGUUGCUCUGUUCGGGAAAAAUGUCAGUAAGACCAAACCUUCUACACAUAUGAACUGGACACACAAGUCUAUGUUUUUUGAGCUCCUGUAUUGGUCAAAACUAAAAUUGAGACACAACCACGAUGUUAUGCAUGUUGAGAAAAAUGUAUUUGACACAUUGGUCCGUACAAUUCUAGAUAUCGAGGCAAGACAAAGGACACGAUCAAAGCUCGUCUUGAUUUAGAAUGAGUGGGAAUAUGACGGGUUUUAUGGAUGAAUACGGAUAAUGAUAAAGCUAGAAGGGAUCUUACGUUUUUUCCAUGAAACUGAAUGAGAAAAAAGAAUUUUUAAAGUUUUUAUUGUGUGUAAAGUUUCUUGAUAUGUACGCUUCAAAUAUCACGCACUGCUUGAACAUUGACGAGGGUAAAUUAGCUGGACUAAAGAGUCAUGACUGCUAUGUGGUUCUGCAACGCCUACUUCCUGUUGGUAUUCAACAUCUUUUGUCAGCCGAUGUAGUAAAACUAAUCGUGUUGUUAUCCAGCUUUUUGUUGCAAUUGACAUCAAGAUUGUUGCGAAAGACCGAUGUUAAUUAGUUGCGCCAUGACAUUGUGCAAGUUUUAUGCAAGUUUGAGAUGAUAUUUCCUCUAGCUUUCUUCACAAGUAUGAUCCACGUGGUGGUUCACUUAUUGGAUGAGGCAUUGCUUGCUGGACCAGUCAACUUUCAAUGGAUGUAUCCAAUAGAAAGGUAUAUAAUUCUUGUCAUUUUUAUUAAUCAAUAUCUUACGAUUAGUAAAAUUUGUAUCCUAUCAUUUUAUUUUGGCAGGUUUCUCGGAGACUUGAAGAAAGGUGUACGAAACAAAGCAAAGCCCAAAGGAUCAAUUAUACAAGCUUGGGUGGCAUAUGAGGCGUUUAUAUUUUGUGGAAUGUAUUUAAAGGAUGUGGAGACAACUUUCAAUCGUCCUUCUCGCAAUAAUGAUGGGGGUGUGAGAAAGGAGAAACUUUCUGUUUUUGCCCAAAUUGCUCGACCCUUUGGAGAUCAGAUAUGAGGCAAGUCGUUUUCCAAAAAGGACAUAGAGAUAACACAUUGGUUCGUACUCAACAAUUGUGAUGAGACACUGUCAUACCUAGACAAGCAUGAAGAUAUGAUGAAGCAAGCACAUCUUUCACAUUUGUAUGCCAAGAAACACCGUGAAUUAUUUCCGGUGUGGUUUCUCGAAUAUGUAAGUUUGAAGUGUUUUAUAUUGGACAUAUAUAUUGUAGGGGUGGGCAAACGGGUAUAGGAACCGCGGGUAGGGGCGGGUAAUUCAGGUUCGGGACGGGUACGGGGCGGUUCCAAUUUUUUGAGAAUAGAAACGGGGCGGGGCGGGACGGGUCGAUAGUAUUUACGGGGAGGGACGAGUCCUAGUAUUUGGAAUUAUGGGCCCUCGGACGGCCCGUUUCUAACUAUAACAGUCUCUAACCUAGUCCAUUAUCCAUCCCACUCUCCCGCAAAACCCACUCCCAAAUUUCAUUCCUUCAAAAUCCCAAACAAGGUCGCCGAGAUUCCCACACUCGAGUCCUCAACUUGAGGCUUCCUCCCACCUGCACUCUUCUUCCCCUCGACAAUGACGACACCACAUCACCUUACCAUCGGAGAAGACGAAGAUUGCGCGGUGCUGACCACCUAAUCCGAUUCGAAUCGGCCAAUUCCUGGCACUUGUUCGAUUCUGCAUCUGCUUCCUCACUCACAGAAUCCCAGCUGAAACUCUAAAUCCGGUCUGAAUCAGUCGACAAAGAAGCACUUGUAAUUUCUUUUUUCCCUAAAAAGUCUAUGUAUCUUUGAGUUCUAUUGCAAUUAGGUUUUUGUGAAUGAUGUUGCUAAUUUGUGGAUUGUUGUUGAGAGGAAUAAAAUAUUGAAGGCAAGGCAUAAAGAAGAAGAGAGGAAGCCUACAAAUUAAAUUCACUGAUUCUCUUAUGUGAUGAGGAAGACGACCUCAACGAGGUCAUCCCUUUGUUUAUUUUUUUUAAUUUUUUUUUUUUGUGAAUUUGUUGUGAGUUGUUAGAAAAUUUGAGUUUUCAUUAACCAUACCCUUUGUCUUUUAUGAAUUCGUAGCCACUGCCACCGCCACUUCCUCCUUCAUCUACUUCAAUCUCAGUAUGCCUAAAACCAAACAAAAAAAAAAGACCCGUGGACCCGCCCCAAACCAGCCCGUUUGAAAAGGGCAGCGUUAGGUCCGGUUCCCAAACUCAAAAUUCCUUUACCCGACCGGGCCCGCCUAGUAACAUUUUAAAACGGGUAAGUCUGGUUCCUUCAAAUUUCAGCCCGGCCCGGCCCGUGCCUAGCCCUAAUAUAUUGUACCAAUUAUUUUGCUUGAACUAACAAAUUUAAGUGUUUGUGUAAUAUUAGGUGAAUCAAUUGAAAGCAUUGAAUUCCCCAGCAUACAGUGAAAAGUUAUAUAACUUGAUGUUCGGACCAAUUCGGGUUGAAUUGUUCUUGGGUUGCCUUGUUAACGGCAUCAAGUUCUUAGGGGCUGCAUGAGAUGACAAGUUGUGUACGCAAAACAGCGGUGUUCAAGUGCCAAGUGGAGGUGAAAGUACAAACAUUGAAUUCUAUAGAACACUAACAAGUAUCAUGUAAUUAUUUACAAAGACCGAUGCCAAGUGAUCCUAUUUAAGUGCCGAUGGUUUGAUACAAACCCAAAUAGGCAGGGAAGUGUUAAAAGAGAUCAUGGAUUACUAUUAGUGAACACUACCAAAUUUUGGUACGAUGACGGCCCUUACAUCUUAGCAAACAUGGCAAAACAAAUUUUGUAUCUUGAAAACCCUAAAGCCGAGAGGGGUUGGAAAGUUGUUCAGAAGAUGGAUCAUAGGAAAGUGUAUGCUAUACCAAAACAAGACCCAACUGACGACGACAUCGACAAAGUAACUGACCAACGACUAGAAUCUUCGAUGGAAAUUGGUGCAGAAACACUCCGAGAUACUAAUCUUAUCCAAAAACUAUUUCAGAUAGAAGGAGUAUCUUCAAUCGAAAUACCGAUUCAAUCAAUCACAAUUGACCUCGGUAAUCUUUCGCACUACGAUGGUCUAGUGCGCACAAAUGACGAUGGUGACGUACAUAUCGAUGAUGAUGAGGAAUGGGACAUUGAAAAUGAUGAUAUCAACAAAAGUGAAAGUUAUUAUAGUUCGGAUGAAGAUUAAUGCAAUUUAUUUGUAAUUUUUAUUGUAAAAUACAUUAAAUGGUUAAUGCAUUUUAUAUGUGAAUUACUUUGUAAAUACAUUUGUUUUAUUAGUAUUUUACAAUAAAUUGUAAUCAAAAUUCUGCCAAAAAAAAAGUCUAUCUUUGACCAAAAAAAGAACAAAAACAAAAUUCAGACAUUUGCGGGACGAAUAUCUAUAUUUCGUCUCGCAAAGGAUAUUUGCGUAACGAAACCUAGUAUUCGUCGCACAAGUGCCUGAAAAUAAAGGCGCCUUUUUUCGUGGAAAUUUUUGAAAAAUCCCGACAAAGCAUCUUCUUCCUCCCCUCACUUCUCUCUUCUUCCUCCAAUACCCUUUCUCUCCCGAGGCCACUGUAGCCCCUCUUUCCAUCGCUGACCUCGCCUCGCCUGCAAUUGCACUCCGGCCAUCAUGUCUUCAUCUCAAGAGGUAAUUUCGUCUUAAUUUGCAUUCACUUUUCUUCGAAUUUUAGGUUUUGUUUGCUUCCAAUUUUAAAUUAGGGUUCUUGAUUUUAAAUUAGGGGUUAGAAUUGGGCAGUGGGUUGCAAUUAGGGUUCUUAAAUUAGGGUUCUUGAAAAUCAUACUGAUACACGGAUGAAGAAUUCGGAGCUAAGCAAGUAUUGCCUUUGUUUUGUAUCUUCAUAAAUUAGAACUAUAAAUUGUUUUGGUUGAUAUUUAUGUUCAUAGUUCUUCUCUAAAGUACAUGAUUUGGAGAAUUCUUUGCAAACAUCACACACACACACACACACACUCUCUCUCUCUCUCUCUCUCUCUCUGUGAGCUCCUACUCAGAUCCAAGUAUGUGUCUGCUUCAAUCUCUAAAGCUUCUACUUCAUCUGUUUGAAGUAGCUUAGGGUUUCGAGAUGAAGCUUUUACUUGAGUUUGGUCUCUCAAAAAUGAAGAGAAAAGCUUAAAAUAUGAAACAAUAUGUACAUAUUUCUGGGUUUAAUGGCUUUUACUAUAGUUUUUAGCUAAUGAUUCUAUGUUUAAGGCUUAAGCUGGAGAGCAAAAUUUGGUUGGUGAGAAAACUAAAGAAAGAAGGAAACAGAUUGUAGUUUUAUGAUUGGUUUCAAACUUGACGUGUAUGUUCGUGUUUCCAUUUCCGAUUAAUCUUAGAAUAAAUGAAUAUAAUCGAGAAAAAGAAUUUACCAAGAUUAACUUUUGAUGACAAAAUGGCUAUCUUGGGUAGGUUUUUUGAAACAGCAGUUAAAAUGUUCCACUAAAGCAGUUACCUGUGUAGUUUUUCAAUAUUUCAGCUCCAUUAUUCUGCAAGUGGUUAGGAUUAGGAUAGGUCCAAGGUUCAAUUCCCUCCAAUGAAAACGGUAAAAAACAAAAUCCAUUUCAGCCUUAAGUAUAAAUGGCAACUGAUGGGGGUGACUUUAUUUUCUGACGGUUUGGAUAUAACAGACAGUGAUUAUGGUGGUGGUUCAUAGUUGUUCUCCAAAGUACAUGGUUUAUAGGUCAAGUGUUAGUGAUAGUUGUUCAGUUAGCAUGCCUUAUACAUGAACUCUUUCUUUCUAUUGUUGGUUUAUGGGUGCUCCUCUCAAUGUCUAUGUGUAUAUUUAUUUGUUUGUGCCUUAUAGAGCCAAGUACGGGGGAUGUAAUGUAAUGCUUAUUAACUAUCGAAGAAGUUGUAGUUAGUAGCCGGACUUGCACCAAUAAACAUAUGCUAAGAUAUGCUCUCCGUGUAUGGAUUUUACAUAUUUCAUUUAUGUCUAAUUGUAUAAGUAUGAUUUUAACUCCGCCUGUGUAAGUUUAUCUUACAUUGCCAGUCCCAAGCCCGGAUAAAGGAGGAGGGGGAGGGCGUCAGGUAGUCGACAGCUGGCACUCCUAGUUUACGUCGAAUCCUUAUGAAAAUGAAUCCAGAACGAAAUCACGCUAAAGCUAGGGCGUCACCCGUAAGUGGCGCGCUGUGUGGCCCAAGCACAGUGAUAAGUGAGCAAGGGUCGCUAUAUCUCUAUCGGCACCCGGAUACAGUGUUAAAUGAGCAAGGGGGCCAUAAAAACUUCUUUUUGAACGACUCCACUCAAAACUGUUUGGGAGCAUAUGCUACUAUCAACUUUACACAGGACACACAAAAGAAGUACUUUGAUCCUAUUAGACGGGGGAGGUUGAAGAAGCUAGGACAGAAGGGUAGAGUUCAAGAGAGUAGAAUGCGUUUAGGAACGUGGAAUAUAGGAACCCUAACGGGAAAAUCUAUGGAAGUAGUGGAAGUUAUGGUGAGGAGAAGGAUAAAUAUUAUAUGCCUACAAGAAACUAAGUGGGUUGGUCUUAAGGCAAAGGAUCUAGAAAACUCAGGGUUUAAACUCUGGUAUUCGGGCACAAAUAGAACGAGAAACGGUGUUGGCAUCAUCGUGGACAAGACCUUGACACAAGAUGUUGUAGAUGUCAAGAGGGUAGGAGAUAGAAUCAUGGCAAUCAAGAUUGUAAUAGGACAAGAACUCAUCAAUGUGAUUAGUGCGUACGCACCUUAAGUAGGGUUGGAUAUGAGUUCGAAGGAGAAAUUUUGGGAAAACCUUGGAGACUUGGUGCAAGGAAUUGCUCAGAUGGAGAAGUUAUUUAUAGGAGGAGAUUUAAAUGGACACGUGGGCAAGGAGACAGGCAACUAUAGAGGUUUUCAUGGUGGCCAUGGUUUUGGGGAGAGAAACAAGGAUGGGGAAGCUAUCUUGGAUUUUGCAAUGGCAUAUGAUCUCUUCUUAGCCAACACCUUCUUUAAGAAGAGAGAAUAACAUGUGAUCACCUACAAGAGUGGGUCGUCAAAAACACAAAUAGAUUUUCUUCUAAUGAGGAAAGGGGAUCGUAUAACUUGUAAGGAUUGCAAAGUUAUACCGGGAGAGAGCUUGGUUAAUCAACAUCGCUUGUUGGUGAUGGAUGUACAUAUCAAAAGAGUGAGAAAAAAGAACAAGACUUGGAAGUGCCCAAGGACUAGAUGGUGGAAUCUAAAAGGAGAAAAACAAGCAAUUUUUAAAGAGAAAGUAACCACCCAGUGUGUGGGAUAGAGAGGGGGAAGCUAGCCAAAGGUGGGAUUCCAUGGCUAGUUGUAUCUAAAAUGUAGCAAAAGAGGUAUUAUGAGAGUCCAAGGGCUUUGCUCCACACCAAAAGGAAUCUUGGUGGUGGAAUGAGGAGGUACAAA
This 82513-nucleotide long non-coding RNA is filed under the name Malus domestica (apple). Its description in RNAcentral is "long non-coding RNA (MDOM_LNC002933)". The stretch from base 35155 to 35263 matches the Rfam family "Plant small nucleolar RNA R71". The record is from RNAcentral. Lineage: Eukaryota; Viridiplantae; Streptophyta; Magnoliopsida; Rosales; Rosaceae.